UUUUUUUUUUUUUUUUGUAUAACACACUAGAUUAAUAGCUACCAAAUUCAAUUAAGGUAACAUAAUACACUUCGAUUUAGCUAAUGGGGAGAGUUACACGUAUCUUUACCAAGGUUCGGCAUAUUUAACAUAUCUUUGUAUGGUCUUAAAUAUUAGGUACAUUUCUCCAAUUUCUAAUUUUAGUUUUUCCUAUUACAAAUGAUUAUUUAAGUAGUUAACUUAUAUAACUAGUUUCAAGUUAUCACUUUAUAUUUUUAGACAGUUAACAGGCUUUUAGAUAAUAAUAUAAGGAGUUUAAAUAUUUUGAUAAUCAUUAAUUUAUAACCUAGUUAAAUUGAUAAUUAACCUGGUAUUACGGGUUAAAAUUCACUGUUAAUCUAUAAAAACGAUUUGCAUUGUCAGUAUAUAUAACUUAAGUUUUAUUGUAAAAUUAUUUUUACACAAUCUAAAAAUUAACAAAAUUUGCUAGAUAUUACACAGUGAGUAUGUUAUUCGGUGCGCGCCCGAAUAUAGUGGCCGCAGGUUUCCUUUGAAUUUUAUUUUUUUAAAAAAAUUAACAAAAUAUUUGCCGGUAGACUACCCCACAAUGACAAAGUAUGGGAAAUAAUUGCAAUUGCGAGAACCUAAAGGGAAUAGGAGUUAUAACCAAUAAAUUUUAGUGCAAAGAAUUUGACCAACUGCCUACCAAUAACAACUACCUACCACCUUCUUGUCCUAAUAAUAAACCCCACCUCUACCUCUACCUCUACCUCUACCUCUACCUCUACUCCCUCCAAAUUGUUGGCGAUUCAAUUCACAUCACAAGAAAAAACAAUAAAAACAAACAACAAAUAGUAACAAGAAAGAAGUUUCUGAAAGUUAUUAAUUACUGUAGCUUUAUACACACACCAUAUAUAUUAGCUACUGAUCACCAAACACAGACAAAGACUCUCCCCAAAACAACAAAGAACUCUCCUUCACGUUUCCUUUGUGGGGUACUUUGUGGGGUAAAUAUUACUUCCUCUAUAGUUUAUUAUAAUUUUUUCCACUGUUUUCAGAAAUACCCUGAAAAAAAAGUUUAGAGCUUUGAUUCUUGUAUUGACCUUUUUCUUGAUUUUUCAGGUGAGUUUCUUGUUUUUCUGCUAAACCCACCUUUGUUUCUUGUUGAAAAGAAUUAAAGUUUGGAAAUUGAUUAAUUUGGGUAGUUGGUAUUGGUUAAAUUUUGAAAUUGAACUGAGUUUUAGAAGAAUACAUGUGAAAGCUUGGAUUUCUUUUAGUUAUCUUGGUUAUCAGUUUGAUUUAUGGGAAGGACUAAGUAAGAAUUUGUAUUUACUGGAAGAAAGUUGUGAUCUUGAUGUUAUGGAAAGGACUAAGUAGGAAUUUUUUUAUUUUUUUUUAUUUUUUGGAGAAGAAAGUUGUGAUCUUGAUGAUAUGGGAAGACUAAGUAGGAAUUUAUCUUCUUUUUUGGAAGAAAGAUGUGAAUUGUGAUUCUGAUGUUAAAGGGUGCAUAAUUCCUGUUGAGUGUAGCUUUUGAGUGAAAUCCUUUAUUUGUUGCAAUUGUUGAUAAAGAACAAUGAAGAAGGGAGCCUUGGAGCAAUGGUAAAGUUGUCCCGUGUGACCUAUAGGUCACGGGUUCGAGCUGUGGAAGCGGCCAUUAAUGGUUGCAUUAGGGUAGGCUGUCUAUAUCACACCCCUUUGGGUGCGACCCUCUCCCGGACCCUGUGUGAAUGCGGGAUGCCUUGUGCACCGGGCUGUUUUUUUGUUUUUUUUUAAGUUGAUAAAGAACAAUGAAAUUUGGUGCAUAGUCAGCUCAGGAUGUGUCAAUGAUACUACACCCUCGUCGAGGAGACCGGAGAUCAUAUACAGUUUACAUAAUUCUUGUCAUUUAGCGGGAAACUGAUAUGGUGCAUUUCAUUUUAGGGAGUGAGAGUGUUUAAACUUUGGUUACUUUAGUUAGCUUAUGUUGAUCAUUUGCUGCAUGAUUCCCUUUGAAAAAGUCUUGAGGCUCAUCUGAGGGAGAACUGGAUGCAGAAGUUUUUCAUUGCAGGUCGAUAGUUCAGCAUUGCACAAUGUAGGGGAUGAAUAAGUUAAUGUUAGUGUUUGUGAAUCUCCUUUUUUAUAUGCUUAAUUUUGGGGUUCAGGCUUAAAAUUGGAGGAAUGCUCAAACAAAGCUAUGUGCUUGGACAAAAGAUAAUGAAUGCUGUUGUGAUCAAUUCUGAGUGGUAUUUGUUGCUAUGGGUUUAUGAUUCUCCUUCUCUACACCUACAAAGCUAUGUGCUUCGACAAAACGAGUAAACUAUCCUGACGAGCAUAGUGCAAUGUGCAUUUCCAAUAGACUCUUCUACAAUUGAUUUUUUUCUCUCACCAGCCACACUUAUUUGAGUUCUUAAUAUUACUUCAACAGUACAAGAUGGUCAAACCCUUGAAUUGUUAUGGAUCUGAUUCUUGCUAGAAAGUCUCUUGGCGAAUUUUUAAGGCAAAGUGCUUACUUUUGUCUUGCUUUAUUUCUCGUUCCAGCAGCUUCAUCCCCCCCAACAAUGUCAAGCUUGGAAGAGCCUCUUAACCUGGACAGGUUGCCAAGUUUGAGCAACAUUGAUUGGCUAGAGAGAUUCUCAUCUGGUGGCUGCAGGCCUAUAGGAGAAGAUAUGGCGAUGGGGGACUCCUGGACUGAUGGGAGAAGUUGCAGCUCAUCCAACAGCUGUGUGUAAGUAGAUAAAGUGUUGCUCUUAUUAAGCUAGUAUAUAUCAUGACUCAGGUUGUGCUUUUCGGUGUUUCUCUCUGCACAACUUAGAGUGACAAAUAGUGAUGGGGAGCCAUUUCUUGUACUGUAUAUGUCUUUGCACGGGGUUAGAUGCUUAUAUCCUUUUUUUGCAAGUUGUUCCUCUUGCUCAUUCUUAUUAUAUUUGACUUCAAGGUGCCUGCUCCUUCCACUGAUUUGUUUUUGAGUAACAAAGGUUCAAAUAGGCCGAUAUCUUGGGUAAAAUUGAAGCCUGCAUGAACAUAAAAAUCGGUGUUAGGAAAAAUUAUUCAUAAUGUAGAUCUGUUUGUAUUGCUAUUAUAAUGGUUUCUGUUGUUUUGGAUCAUUAAUUUCUAUCAAUGUCUUGAGCAAUGUUUUAAACAAAGCUAGAAUGUUAUCUUUUUCGUGACAAAGGACACAACUUUUUCCACUCUUUCUUUGAAUAAAAGAGUUCCUAUCAUUUGGUGGUUCAUUAACAGAGGCACUAUUAUCUAAUAAUCCUUGAAGUUUCUCGCCACUUGGCAUCUCGACGUGGAUUUUUUUUUUUUUAGGAAUUUUCGCCUUGAUGUGCUUGACUGAAUUUCCCAGACCCCACUUGUGGGAAAUUACUGGGCUUGUUGUUGUUGAUGAUGUGCUUGACUGAAUUUGAUGUAUGAAAUUCCUAAUAUGUUUGUCUUCAGUGAAGAUGAUGACGAAUAUGGGAGAGAGAAUUUCAAAUGGAGAAGACAUGGAUCGCGUAACGGCAUCUCAAGUCGAAGGUCCAAGAGUUUUAGCACUAAUUAUAGAGUAUGUGGAACUGUGUCUCAUUCACAGUACUUGACAGAUCAUCAAUAUAAAUCUUACAGCAACCAUAGAAGUACAGUGAGUAAAACGUUCAAGGUAAUUCGUCGAAGUCCUUUUUGUCCCUCUGUUAGCUCGUCUAGAAAACAUGGAAUGAACAGUGAUUCUGGUUUGCCUGAAUGUUUUUGGUUUAUCGUACAUCAGUUGGAGAUCCAACACAAUGAUAAUGUUUUAUUUCAAGACAAUUGUUUCUUUAUUACGUGCACAGAUUUCCGGUCCUUCUUAAUCAUUUUAAUUUCCUGAUUGUUUCUUUGUCUGGUAACAGUUGUUUGAUGGCAUGCCAAAGUAUGUGAAGAUAGUGGAAGUUGGUCCAAGGGAUGGGUUACAAAAUGAAAAGAAUAUUGUUCCUACAUCAGUGAAGGUUGAAUUAGUUCAAAAACUUGUCUCUUGCGGGCUACCUGUUGUUGAAGUGACGGGGUUUGUUUCUCCAAAAUGGGUACCUCAGGUAAUUCUUCCUCCUUUUAUAUAUAAGGAAACCUCUUUUGCUGAACUUAAACAUUGGCUAUAGCCUAUAUAGAAGCUUGCUUUAGACUCUGUGAUUAAAUAGCUUGAUUUUUAUGCGUUUAUUCUGUGAAACUUUUCCUUACUAUACUCAUUCUCCUGCUUCUUUUUGAUAGCUGUCGGAUGCCAAGGAUGUAAUGGAGGCAGUGAAGGAUCUGGAAAGUGCCAGAUUGCCUGUAUUGACACCUAAUAUGAAAGUAUGUAGCACUUAUUGGAAAAAAUUUCAUGCUUUAGCUACCACUUUCUUCGUCUGAUAAUUAUAUUGGUGUUAUUUGAAUUUCUGUUAGGGCUUUGAAGCAGCUGUUGCAGCUGGGGCGAAAGAAGUAGCUGUCUUUGCAUCAGCUUCGGAGUCUUUUUCAAAGUCAAACAUUAAUUGCAGUAUUGAGGAAAGCCUUGUCCGAUAUCGAGCUGUUACUUCUGCUGCCAAAAAGCUGUCAAUACCCGUGCGCGGGUAUGCAUUUCAUGCCCACAUAUCUUUAUAUUAAAUGAAAUGCUCUUUCGUUUUCUAUUUUUCCCAUGAGUUCGAAUUCAUUGACCUCUAAUGAUCAUUUGAAUUGCCUUAAUUUUGAAGCGAGCCGUCUAAAUUACCUCACUUCCUAACUUCAAUUUCAUUAGUAGACUAAUGACAGGAUGAGGACCUUAAUAUUAUUGGAUCAACAAUCCUUGUUACUAGUAGCUAUCAGUUUGUUUUUAGUAUUUAUCUCUUUAGAUUAGAUUGCAUUUAUCGAUAUUAUAGUUAGGUAUUCAGAGUUAUCCCUUUGAUUUAGAUAGGAUUCGUCAGUUAUUUGGUUUACAUAAAACUCUAGAAAGAUGGUUACUGUAACUUGUAUUUAAACUCAUUGAGGCAUUCAAUAACAGAAAUAGUAUUUCCAUCAUCUAUUCAAGUGUUCAUAAAUAUUUCUAUAGGGAAAGAGAAGAAGAAAUCUUAUUAGUUUGCUGCAGCCAGCUUGGAUGUUGUAGCAUGUUGCAUUUUAUGCCUUACCAUCAUAUGUGGUUCAAACUUAAAAAUCUGACCUUUCAAUGCGUGACAGAUAUGUAUCAUGUGCUAUUGGUUGCCCAGUCGAAGGAGAAAUUUCACCUUCGAAAGUGGCAUAUGUAGCAAAGGAACUUCAUGACAUGGGAUGCUUUGAAAUCUCCCUUGGAGACACAAUAGGAGUCGCUACUCCAGGUAAAAUAUUUUGAACGAUGUACUUUACUUUUCCAGUGAAAAAUGCCUUAGUUUUUCAGUGAUUACUUCAACUGAAAUGCUAUUUAUGUUUCUGAACUAGUUCUAUGAUUAGGUUCCUAAACUCAAGUUUUUUCUUUUUGGUAAGUGGUUCAAAAACAAAAGUAUUUUGUUGCUGAAAAAAGGAUUUUUUCCAGUGUAACCAAGCUUAUUGGAUUAGAAAAUACAACAUAUACAGUUAAGAUAUAGCUUCGACCUCUUAUCUUGCUUUAGUUGGUAUCUAAAUCGUAUUUCAAUUGGAUGGUUGGUAAGAGCGGAUAGGAACGAAAAACAGAGUUUCUACAUAUUAAAUUUGUGGAGUGACUUCCUAAAAAAAAGUGUGUGACUUAACUUCCUUUCCAUGUUAUUUUGUUUUACAGGAAGUGUUGUUCCUAUGCUUGAAGCUGUGAUGGCUGUGGUUCCUGUUGAAAAGCUUGCUGUGCAUUUCCACGAUACCUAUGGACAGUCUCUUUCUAAUAUUUUAGUUUCCCUCCAAGUAAGUUCUUCUCUUGGAAUUCAAGUACAAGAUGAAAGUUUAGGUAGCCAAUCAACUGAGCUUCUAAUAUUCCCCUCUUAGUCUGGCUAUUGUUGCAGAGUUUUCAAAUGUGUAAAAGAUUUCAAGAAUGUUCAACUCAUGUUACUACUGUCUGUUGUAUUGUCCACAGAUGGGUAUUAGCACAAUAGACUCGUCGGUUGCUGGACUCGGAGGCUGUCCAUAUGCCAAAGGAGCAACUGGCAAUGUUUCAACUGAAGAUGUUGUUUAUAUGCUUAACGGUCUAGGGAUAAAAACCAACGUCGAUAUACAGAAACUCUUGCUAGCCGGAGAGUUCAUCAGCAAGUAUUUGGACCGGCCAUCCGGAUCUAAAGCAGCCAUUGCUUUGAGCAGAGUCACAGCAGAUGCAUCCAAGAUAUAGGAAAGUAAACAACUCGCGCCCAGAUGUGAUCAAAUGGUCUCACUUAAGGUGCAAAAACCAGAAGAUAGAGAUUAUAAUAUAUAUGCCACUUCUAUAGAGUAUACUUAUCAAAAUUUGAUGAAAAAUAAUGUAUUUGAGACUCUGUUGUCAAAAUGAAGAUGCCAUCUAUGACUACAUCAGGCUGCUCAUUGCAGCAUAUCUAAUACAAAGAGUAUUGAUUUAUGCUUCCCUUUUUCUUCUUCAUAUUUGUUCAACUUGUUAUCAACUUCUCACCAGGCUUUCUUUGGCGUAGACGUCAUUUUGAACUUCGUAAAAAAGGAAAAAAGAAAAGUUGCACAGUGCACUAAGCUCCCGCUAUGUGCCAAGUCCGGGGAAUGGUCAGACCAUGUUGAGUCUAUUGUACGGAACCUUACCUUGCACUUCGGUAGGAGGUUGUUUCCAUGGCUUGAAUAUGUGACCUCCUGGUCACACGUUCCAUUAUCAUCGAGAUACACAAAGAACCUUCUUAGUGUGUCUGUAUACGCACACAUUAUACAGUGUGUAUAUACAUAUACAUAAAAAAAAAAUCCAGAUUUAGCUCAAACAACCAUUCUUUAGUAAAACUUAAAAACUGAUUUUGCAAAAUCAAAAACUCCAAAUAAACGCCAAGGUAUACUUUCAAAUGAAAUUUGGACAAAAAAAAAUACAAAUGAACAUAAAAUGGAGAACGAAACUAUAUAUAUAUGUAUAUAUUCCGGUGGUGACUACCUAAUCUUCAAAGUAGCUGGCUCAUAUCUAUAUCCGUGAGGUUGUUCGUCUCCAUGGUGUGCCGGUGUCCAUUAUCUCCGAUCGAGGCACGUAGUUCACAUUGCAUUUUUAGAGAGUCAUGCAGCGUGAGUUAGGCGCACGGGUUGAGUUGACUACAACAUUUCACCACAGACGGACGGGCAGUCUGAGCGCACCAUUCAGAUCUUGGAGGAUAUGCUACGCGCAUGUGUUAUGGAUUUCGAGGGCUUCAUGGAUCAGUUCCUACCGCUUGCAGAGUUCACCUACAACAACAACGACUAAUCGAGUAUUCAGAUAGCUCCUUAUGAGGCCCUAUAUGGAGGUAGUGUCGUUCUCCAGUUGGUUGGUUUGAGUCGGGAGAGGCUAGGUUGUUAGGUACUGAUUUGGUUCGGGAUGCCUUGGAGAAAGUCAAGUUGAUUCAGGAUCAGCUUCGUACAACACAGUCUAGACACAGCUGAAUUGAAGUAAAAGUUGAAAGAAUCUCUUCUUUGCCUUGUACAAAUUAUUGGAAAAAAAAAAAAAAAAAACUUAGGUUCAUAAACUUUUUAUUCAUGUGAAGGAAUGUCGAACAAAUUUCUUUCCUUUGUUCUCCGUCAAUCAAAUGAUAAAAAAAAAUAUUGUUUAUUUCGAGCAUAUUUGUUUAUUUUCCUUUUUCUCGAACAAAGGAAGAAAAAGAAAGAAAGAAAGAAAGAAAGAAAGAACAUAAUCUUUUUUUAUUCGUCCUCAAGCUAUAAUCGUGUGAUUUAUAAGUCGCAUUUUUUGAAUGAGAUUUAUAAGUAACAUUAUUGAAUGUGAUUUAUAUUCGCUAAUGGACACGCCUCAAUUUUUUUCCAUUCUCGAUCCGCGUUUGGAUCCUUAAUCGUAUUCAUAUAAUUUUCCCCCCAAAAUUUUAGCUCUUUAUUUAUAAUUCUCUGGUAGAGAAUGACUUUAAAAAAAGAUGAGAUUUGUCCUCUACAAAGUAAUAAUUUAUUCUUCAAUGUAGCAUAACGCAUAUUUAAUGUAUUUACUAAGCGCCUACAUAAAAUUUAACUGAUUAAGCAUUAUUGAGUAAACUAGUUUAUGUUUACGUGCGUUGCACGUGUUAUUCUGCGUAAAUCAUUACAAAUUUACAUGUCAAAACAAUAAAUUUAUACGUGUAUAUAAUAUUAACAAAAAUAGGAAAAAUUAGAUAUAGUUCCUUUAAUUUAUAUCAAAGUUAUGUAACUAAUGUCAUGGAUGUAUCUUUUGUAAUUUUAAUAGAUAUGCUAUUUUAAUCACAUUAAUAUUGGCAAAUUUAUAAUUAACUUUAAAGUCUAAAAUAUGAAGUUCAAUCUAGCGUCGAUGAGUGGUUCUCCACUACUCUUAUGGAGUAUAUUGAACUUCCCUUUCGAGAAUUUGGAGAACCGAGAAGACUUGAAAUGUAGUAAUAGGUCACUCAAUUUUAAUAUAAUAAGACCUUCAAUUGGGACUCCAUAGAACAUACUUCUCCCACAAUUACAUUUUCGAUUAGGAUAAAAUUCAUGAAAUUCUCCCGCAACUCGAAUUUUCACUUUGUGGUUGUAUUCUAUUUAAUUUGUGAUUAGUUACCUUAAUUCUUCAAUUAUAUCUUAGACGUGGUCAAGCACAAAAUUUGUCCAGCAUGGAAGUAUAUAGGUCAAGUUUAGUUGAUUUCAAACACUUGUUAGAAAAGUAUUGCAAUUUUAUCCAAUCGAAAGCCAUAUAAUUAUUCGAAUUAAUUAGUUUUCAAAGGGCAUAAAAGACAGUUAAAUUUUCAGGAUAUUUUCGUCAUUUAACAUUCAACGUUUUAAUAUUCAUGCUUUUAUAAUAACAUAGAUAUAGAAAUAGAUAGACAUGGGUUGAUUCGCCUUGCGACCUACGGGUUCACGUGAACUCGGUAGCUUUUUGUCCAAAUAGUGUAAAUGUGUUCGAAAAAUUCACUAAAUAUCUAUAAAUGUUUGAAUGUAAAUCCAGUUACUAUAGAAAAUUUACUCGAAGUCAUUAUUGAAACACAUAAAUAUUAAAUUCUGAAUCCACCUCUGUAGAUAGAUUAUAUCAAACCGUUAUUAGCGAUAUAGUUUUGAUGUAAUAUGUUUAUUAAAAAUAUCUGCCAAUGUCUCGUUACAGAGCUUCAUACUUUUAUAAUAAAAUAAAAUAAAAAAGAUUUAAAGGUGUAAAAAAGCAAGAAUGCGUAUAUUUUGGAAUAUUUCUUGUUUUAUUGUGAACAUGAAAAUUUAGAGUAAAACUUAAAAGCUCUAAAAAAGGUUUACUAUUUUUCUAAUGUCAUACACGAAAAUAAUAAAAAAAUUGUUAACUAAAAUCUAAUACAAGGAAAACAAUAAAGUUCUUUAAUUAUUAAAGGUCAAAUGAUGAGUAAGAAAUUAAUGAGUUCAUAAAAAAAAUAUUCUACUAUAAAUGUUUCCUGACAUUCAUUUCGAGAUCAAAAUGUGAUUAUUAAAAAUGUGUCAUUUAUACCAAUUGUCGCUAUAUUGCAUGGAUGAACAAAUCAACAUGUAAAUAUAUUUGGUGGCUCUCCCUCUCAGUGAGAGUACUGUUGAUGAAAAUCAAAUUAGGCAUAAGAAACUGAUAAUAUCUAUGAUAAACCUUAAAAGAAGAUCAUAUGCUAAGUAGGAAACUUGAAAAAUAAACACAAAUAAAUCAACAGCAGUGAAAGAGAUAUGAAUGUCACAUACCUCGUAGUCCAUUUAAUCAGGUUAAUGUCAUCCAAAGUCCUGAAAAUUACAACAUGAAAGGAGGAAUUAGCAUAAUUCAAAGUAAUACUCUCACUGUCUCGAUUUAUAUGAUGGUGUUCAAUUGAGCAGGAGUUUAAAAAUAAUUAAAGUUUGUGUUCCUAAAUAAUAUUGUUGGUGGAUUUUAUUUUUCUAGAGGCAACCGAUAUAGAAAUUUACAAAACCUAAGUAGAUGCAUAUUCCUAGUAUUAAAGCAACAUCAAUUAAAAAGUUAAUUUCCCAAAGUUAUGAAAUAAAAACUACACAUGAAACACCAUUAGAGGCAUCAAGAAAAUAAACACAAAAUCUAAGAAUGAUAUAUCUACUAAUGCGAUAUAUCGGGUAAUACCAACAUGUAGCAUAAAUCAUAGAAAGCACUAAAACAAGACUACAUAACAUUAUAAUAUCAAUAGAGCAAAACGAUUGAGAAAACAAUAGAAUUGUAGCCUAAUGCAUUCUUUUCAUUGUUAAGGUUCUUUUAUAUAGGGUUUUUUAUUUGUUUCCUUGAUUAUGAGUAGGAGUGUUAUUGUACCGAUUUCAUAGGAAUGAGUUUUUAAAAUCUAUAUAGUAAUAAUGACGUAAGGAAAUAAUUAUUACGCCUGCUUUUAUUUGUUUCCUUGGAUUAUAAAUAGAAGUGUUAUUGUACCGAUUUCAUAGGAAUAAGUUUUAAAAUCUGAUAUAGUUAUUUUGAUGUAAGGAAAUAAUUAAGUCUUUAAAAUUAAUUGAUUUACAAUACACAUCGUAAUAAAUAAAAAAUUUAAAGAAUCCCUAAAACUAAGGGGGGAAAAGACCAAAGGAAAAAAAGUCUAUAACGAAAGAAUCCCAAUUCUAAAGAAUCCUAAACCUAAAAGCAAGCACAAGGCAAUUUUUAAUUUUGCCCCAAAAAAAAAAAUAGUGAUUACAUUACAAGUAUAUCCAACAUAAAAAAGACGAACUAAUAUUUUGAUAGGUGUUCGUACUUUUAAUAUAGCAUACAUAUAUGACUGAAUGCGACUUAUAAUAGGCAGAGGUGAAUGCAAUUUAUAAAGCGCAAAAUAGAAUGCGAUUUUAUAAAUCGCAAUAUCUGAAAUCCAACGCUUGCUUAUAAAUUCCCUUUUUCCUUUCUUUUCCUUUCCCAACGCUUGUUUCCGCUCAUCUUAAGCAAAUUUUAACAACACACUUUCUCCAGCAGUUUUUGGCAGAAGAGAGAUCAGAAAAAUGGACGAGCAAGAAUUUAGACGCCUUCUUGAGCUCUUCCCAGCCGUUCGCUCUCCCGAUUACUACGUAAAGCUCUCCCCUUUUUCCUCUCUAUAAAUGAGCAAUCUUUAAUAAAUCAUUCAUUAAAAUUGAAAAAAUGGGUUCUAAUUAAGUAUCCUUUUCACUUAAUACCCACUUGAUUAUCUUUUUUUUUGGGGGGGGGGGGGGGGUUCGUUGGGUUGUUUAGGGUUUUUUCUAAUCAAGUUCUCAAGUAGGGUGAUUAAGGUUAUUAUAUGCUGACUUGAUUCAAGUUGAUUUUGAACUUGAUUAAGGUUAUUAAGCUCCAAAUUGAUGUUUUGGGUGUUUUCAUGCUGUAGUUUUUUUAAAACUUGGAGCUUAUUAAGUAAUCUGAGUUUCCCCAUUAUCAUCAAUUUUCUGCAAGUAAAAUGUUUCCUUUUUAUUUUAUUUUUAAAUUUUGAGAUUUGCAGUGUUAGGGUUACUUUUUCUAAUCAAGACUUAGAAAUUACAAUUUUUAAAAAAUUAUGAGAAAUUAACUUAAAUAGCUGCCCGCCAAUAAAAUAGCCCAAAAAUGUAUAUAUUAUACAUAAUUAGUGUAUAAUAUAUGUAUAAUUAUUUGUAACUUCUCCUAGAAUUAUCGUGCUAAAGUUCUCAUUUUUUUGGUUGAUCCAACUUGCUUUGUGGAAUCUUGGACCAAAUUGGGAUGCUGAAUUUUUAGUCGUAGGCCUGGUGAUUUUAGCAACUCAAACAGCCUGUGAAGUUUAUGUUAAGUUUGAAUCCAAUUGUGGAGUAUAAAAGGAGCUUUUGAAGCCAUUACCUUGAUUGUUCCUUUUUUCCCCCUUGAAGCGCGAAUGAAUUAAUAGGCCAACAUUGUCUUUAUAUGCAUCUAUUUAAAAAGAAUUUAUGUUGCUCUGGAAAGAAGGCAGUAGGUGAGCUUAGAUAAGAAAUAUAGGAAUUUAUUCUCUAUAUCAACCUUCGAUAAAGCAAGAGACGUCUAUAAAAAAACUGGCUUUUCCAUUUACUGGAAGAAACGUUGUCAAACUGAAUUGCUUUUCUAGUGUAAUGUGAUUUAAAUUCAUCACUGUAAAUUAAUAUCAAUAUCCCCUGCUUGGUCUAUUACUUCACAGAAUUAACUGAUAUGGUCUAAACAAUAAAAAGCAAUUGUCCUCUUUCAGCUUCUUUCUGCCCUGAAUCUACAGUUAUACACUCAUAAGUAUUCAAAUCUCAACAAAAGUCCACUCCAUAGUCCAUACCAGCCUAAAGGCUCUAUUAGGUUGUUUGUCUUCUAUUCCCUUUGGAGUAGUAUUACAUGAUUUCAUAGCCUUUUUGUUAGGGUCCAAAAAUAGAAAAGAGUGAUGUAAACUCUGCUGUAUGGUGGGAUUUAACUCAACUUUUUUUGGAUGUAAAUGAGGAAGAUGUGAAAUGGAGGGAUGUCCAACUGUAAACUCUUAUGCUUCAAUGAAUGUGGGAUUGCUGAAAUAGAAUUCAAAUAUCUGAGAUGUGAAAGUGUGAAUUCUAGACAAGUAUAUCCCAAUACCUGUCAUGCUCCCAUCCUGAUCAUAUUGAUCUCAUCUAGUGCUAGUUUCAUUUAUUUUCCAGCUGGUUCUUUUUCUUCUUCAGUUUCCUAGUGCUUUCUUUUUAAUCGUCUUACCUGCUGACUCUCCUUUGUGUUGUGUUGUUCCCAUCAGCUUGAGUUGGAUACAUCAAGGCAAUCAACUUCCCAAUCCAAGCAGAAAGAGGAGGUAUGGCAGAAAUUUUUCCUUAUGUAAUCGUCUGAAGCUUUGCUUUCAGGUUAUGAUUAUUUCUCCUAACACCAAAAGCUUCAUCAGGUGAAGCAAUUGCUAGACGGGCAUAGUAAGGGAAGUGUAGAGUCCAGUACUCGAGCAAUGGAUCAUGGUGGUAUGUUAUGACGUUAUCAGUUGCUUUGCUCGGGUGAAAAUGACCAAAAACUAUUCUUUAUCAUGUAGUAAUAACUUUGGAAUUUUCAACCUGCAUGAGAAUACUGCUGUCUUUAGAUCGUAAAAACUAAACAACCUACUCAACUGCGUUUCUUAAGGGUGCGCUCAUUUCUCUAAAGUAUAUAUUCUUAGAGAUUGUUAGUCAUUUAAUAUCCAUCUUAAGUUACUGCGUACUGUCUUUUGUUUUCAUUUUCUUCUCUUUUCGGAGGUCCCCUCUUAAAGUUUCUGCAGCAAUCUUCUUGUUAGUAAUUUAAAUUCCAAAAACCUAUCUAAAUUUUUUGAUAUUGAAAAUAAAAUUCAAAAACUCUACUUAUUUUGAUUCUUUUCAGAGUUGAAAUUAUUUUUAAUGGUAAUGAAGUUAUUUGGCAAUAUUGAGAUUGCUCAGUUUGUAUCUCUUACACCUUUAUGGAAAGAUCUCAGUAACUGAAUCACUUUCUUGUUACAGAAGCAUUUUGGGGCAAACUAAAAGCAGCUGCUGAGAAAAAGGUGUGUCCUGUUAUAAUCGUUGUUUAUGUAAUUUUUGCGUAGAGUGAAGAUCCCUAUGCUGUACUACUAGAUAUUGUCCAGCUAUGCCUAGUAGAUUCAAAACUUUGCUUUGAAUUCAUGUCUGCAUACUAUAGGGGGGUUAUUAAUACGUCUUAUUGUUCUGAAUCUGUUAUUCCUUCAUAUAAUUGCUUGAGCAGAUGGAGUGAGUUCAUUACUACAGUGUUUCCUUAGGUCUGUACAUCCUAAUAAUUCUUUCAUUGGGCUGUUUUAAUGAUUCUUCCUAGGGAUAAAUCAUCAAAUUUUGAUAAAUAGUUCAUAUUCCAUCAAUGAUCAAAGAGGAUACAUAAACAAACUCCUAAAUCGAUACCUUCAGAUUGGGGAGGAAGUUGAAUGGUUUGUUGGUUAAGUACUAAUGCAAGUUUAACCAAAUGCCCAUUUUCGAUUAGCAUGAGGCUUCUGGAAGUAAUAGAAUUUGGUGGAAACGUUUAGGAGGACUGCUUUAAUUAGAGGCAUUAGAAGGCGAAUUAGUUCAAAUGAUCACCACCCUGGAGAUUUUUCUGACCUAGAAGACCGAAAUAAUAUAGCUAAAACUACAGCACAUUUAAUUCAAAAGUCAUUUAUGUUUUGUGCUAUGUUAGAAGGGACGAUUAGGUAGGAACAACUACUGAAAAAGCUGCUGAAUGACCAAGCAAGCAGUAUUGCUCUCGUUGAGAGUUGAACUCAAUAAUUAUAAUCCUAGUUAGACGGUUGAGAAUGUCUUGAACAAAACUUCAUCAGAUGGUUUGUGUACAAUAUUUCAUCUUACUAGCCCCCGGGGCUUUGGCUCAGUGGUAAGAGUGGUAAGACCACAACACAUGAUAUGUAGAUUAGGUGCACGUCACGAGUUCGAUUCCUGCCGAAAGCUAAAAGCCUGGUAUUCAAGAGGGGCUGACAGAUUAUCCACGGAACUUUGAACCGUACACCAGCUACCUCUCAGGAAUUUCUCGGUUAUAAAAAAGAAAAAUACAUCAUCUGUGAUAACGACUAACAAGGUGUUGGUCUGGCUUUCUACAGAUGGGUCCAGCGGAAGCGGAAACUUUUUGCAAGGCAUUUCAACAAGUUUACAGGAAACUUGUAAGUAAAUACUUCUGAAGUAACCCAAGCAGAAAAUUUUCCUGCUUUCUCUACGUAUGAUUCACUUAUAAUGUGUAUCUUCAUUUCGUUUUAGCCAAUCGCCUAAAAACUUUCUGCUGUAAGUUAUACUUUGGAAACCUUCAUGACUUUCAGGUGAAUGAAGAACUGAGUUUGGAAGCUGCUCGGAGCUUGCUGAAUUCAUGAUUUUUUUCCCUGAACUGUUGUUACUUUUAAUCACUUGAUGUUCUGGAUAUAGCUAUUGUGUAACUUAUAUUUUCUUUUUUGUUAAUGUAUUAUUACAUUGAGUUAUAUCUUCUUCUUUCUUUUAGUGAAAUUAUGUUUACUCUGUAAAGAUCUUUUAGCUUUGAUUUGCUCUUCCUAAUUGUUUUGUCACAUCUUUAUUUUAUUUUUUGGGUUAAAUGGUUGGUGACCAAUGCUAUUCUUGUUGUUUACUCACUGCCCUCUCCUCCUCCACUGCGCACGACCACUACUUUCUUCACCUCAACCUGGAGUAGUUACAAUUGAAUAUUUUUACAUGAUUAAUGUAGUUUAACAUAUUACAACUGAUUAAUUAUCUUUUUUUAUCAGAUUACUAAUCAAUAAUAGGACUGCUCUGCACUAAGCAACGAAGGGUCACUCUACAUCUUUGUUGUGGCAAAUGGCAAUGUCAGUACCACAAAAUCUUGAUGUAUCAGCAUCUUUUCCAAUGGAUCCCUCUACAAUUUGGUUGGCAGUAGCUUGGUUAAGGGAAUCCACCGGAGUCAUCGCCGAAGCGAGUCUUCAUAGGGCUAUUGCUUAUGGACCCGUACUUGGGUGAUCUUAAGUGGAGGUUUGAACCGACUGAUGUUGAAGAAUCACCGAGGGAGUCGUGGUUAGGGGUGAAAUACCACUCGAACCUAGAGUUAGUUGGUUCUUCCCGAAAUGGGUUGAGGCACAACAAUUGAUUGGACAUGUAGGGGUGAAGCAUAUUCACAUGGAACUGUUCUCACGAAAGGAGUAUUAAAUCACUAGAUAUAUACUCCAGCCUAGUAGGUCAACGAUACAGCACGAUGUAAUAAUAUACUGACAUAAGAUUCAAGUCAUAGAGAUGAGUAGAUUGAAGCUAAAUUAUUAAGAAAAACAAAAAAAAAUAUCAUUUGUCUCACUUCCUUCAAAAGAAAAAGAAAUUUAUGGUGAUCAAGAUUGUAGAUGAUAGUUACCACUAUAACCAGUAAAAUUCUCACAUUUAAAGAAAGCUAUCAUUUAAAAUGGUUGUCAUUUAAAUAAUCCCAAUCGUCAGAUCAAAAUCAAGCAAAUAAAACUCUUGAUGUUUGACUAUUAAAAAAGCAUUAUUUGCAGUGUUUCACAAAUUUAACAAUUUCAUAGUAUUUGUAUCCUAUUUUAAGAAAUGACGACUCUCAUUUUCUAGUUUCUGUUACUCUGAAAGUUUGGUCAAAUGAGCAUAAAAGUCAAUUUAGGACCACUAAUUAGAUUCUUUUUCUUUUUUGGUAUAUACAUAUAACUUUAACUAUCAAACCCAACAAGAAUUUGGACAAAGGGAGCAGUAAAACAUUCCUUAAGAAAAUUUAUUAUGUGGCACAAUUAAUAUUUAAAAAGUCAAAUAACUUUAUGUAGAAAAAUUUAUUUUUAAUAUAUGUAAUUUAGCAUAAAAGUUCUUACCCGGUUAAAAUUGUGUUAAUUUGGAAAAGUAAUAUCCCAUCUUAAAUUAUCUGUCAUAAUUUUUUAAAAUAGUUUUUCGGAUUAGUUAUCAUUUUAGAAGUUCGAAACAAAAAUAUUUUUUUUAUUUUACCUUUAAUAUUAAUUAUUUUUGAAAUAAAUAAUAUAUUUUAAGACAUAAAAAAAAAAGUUCAAAACUCAUUUUAAUUAAUAUUUUCCAAGAGGCAUACAUAUUUUCUUAACAUAAAAAUCGCAUGUGAGGAUAUGCACAUGAAACAAGAAACAAGAAUCAUGAAUCAAGAAUGAGUAUAUACCUUAGAUGACUAUGAUCUAAGGCUGGUAUUUUCUCCAGUGUCAGACAUCGUAGGACCCAUUUGUGCUAUCUUCAAGAAUGAGCUGGAUCUGACAAAUUGCAGCACAUACAAUAUGCCAAUACAAUCCUAUUAAAAAAAACAACAAGUGUAAAAAAGAAAGGAACUUUUCUGUGAUUGAGUUCAAGAUUUGAUGACCCAAUAAAGAAAAGUUGAUGAUUUUCACAUUUCCAUGAAGAAAAAAAGAAGAAGAAGAAGAAGAAAGAAAAAAGAAACAGAGGUUUUUUAAACAUGGUUUUUUCUAAAGAUAAUAUGACUGGGAUCAUUUUGGCUUUGCUUUCAAGUGUGUUUAUAGGGGCAAGCUUUAUAAUCAAGAAAAAAGGUCUUAGAAGAGCUGCUGUAGUCUCUGGUGUUAGAGCUGGUAUGUGGGGUCUCUAAUUUUCUGUUUGUUCUAUUAUGGAAGUGUGUAAAGUUUUAAUCUUUUUGGCUUUUUGUUGCUUGUUCUGUAGCAUGAAUCUUGUUUGAGUUUUCUUGGUUUUUAUUUUUGUAGGUGUUGGUGGGUAUUCAUAUCUAUUGGAGCCCCUUUGGUGGAUUGGAAUGGUCACAAGUAAGUUUUCUCCUUUUUGUUUCUGUUUUCUGCUGUCCUAAUAUCCUUAAUUACAGCAUUUUGUCUGUGUGUGUGUGUUCUUAGAAUGUUUUGAUACAGUGCUACUGCUAGAAAGGACUGGUAGAAGUGUAUAUUUAAAUAUAAUUUAUUGAAAUUUUUUUGGAAGUAAGAUUAAUAAUUGGUUAGUGUGGUCCUUUCUUCUUCUUUUUUCUUUUAUAAUUUUGUACUAAUAUUGGUCGUAGAUGAGCUUUAAUGAAGCGAUAUGGUCACUGUUGAUUCAUAUAACCGACCUUAAUUUGCUUGUGAUUGAGGCAUAGUAGUAGUUGUUAUUGUAGUUAUCUUAAUCAACCACCUAGCCUAUUGAUGUUAUUGAUAUGUUUCCUGAAUUUGUUCUAACAGAAGUAAGGUGUGUCCUAUGUCUAGUUUUUUCUUUCUUGGCCAUUGGCUGACUGUCCAUAGGAUGUUCUUGUUGUUUUGCUUCUCAUAGUGAUUGUCGGAGAGGUUGCGAAUUUUGUGGCAUAUGCAUUUGCUCCGGCAGUUCUUGUUACCCCUCUUGGUGCAUUGAGUAUCAUUGUCAGGUGUGUAAUCUUGGUGAUUCGGUAAGACUGAAGAUAUACUUUUGGUUGUUUAACUGUUUUUAUGGCCAAAAACUCUUGCAGUGCUGCACUAGCUCAGAUUGUUUUGAAGGAAAAGUUGCAUCCUCUUGGAAUUUUGGGUUGUGUGAUGUGCAUUGCUGGUUCUAUCGUGAUAGUUAUCCACGCACCACAGGAGCAUGCUAUCGCUUCUGUCAAAGAAAUAUGGUACAUGGCAACUCAGAAAGGUGAGACGCUUCUAUCUUGACCAAAUCGUCUAGUUCCUUUGCGACCAUCUACACUUUUCUAACUUCAUUUUCUUUUCAAUUCCAGCAUUUUUGCUCUAUGUAGGAUCGGUGCUUGUCUUGGUUUUCAUUCUUGUCUUCUACUUUGCUCCUCAAUGUGGACACUCGAACGUCCUUGUUUUCACUGGAAUAUGCUCAUUGAUGGGUUCUCUCUCGGUAAAACUUUAAAUUGGAUGCUCUUGCCUUGUGGUCUAUCUUCUAAAUGCUCAAUUUCUGCAAAUCUUAUUUCUGCCGGUUAAGUGAAUAACAAAAAUCUCUGUAAUUACUAGAAUUUAUGUCCCUCUAUUCUGUUUAAUAUGCAGGUUAUGAGUGUUAAAGCCCUUGGUACUUCACUAAAGUUAACUGUUGAAGGAAAGAACCAGUUGAUGUAUCCGGAAACCUGGUUUUUUAUGUUUGUUGUCGCAGUUUGCGUCGUUACACAAAUGAACUAUCUCAAUAAGGUGAGUAGCUACUAUUCUAAUUAUUUUUGUAAUGUAACACAUUUUGUCCACAAACUUCCUCUUCAAAUUGACUGCUAAUUCAUCCUUCGAGAUUCUAAGAGUGCCCUGAUAAUUUUCUGCUCACCUUGUCCUCUUUCUUUGAAUUCCUUGUUUCCUUCUUUUUGCCCCUCUCUUUUCCUAUUUAUUCAUUUAUAGAAGUAAGAACCAGGUGAGAAAGUAGAAACUAUGAUACUACGUAGAUUAGGUAAACAGUUUGGGAAAAUUGCCCUGUUUGUACUUCUCUUACUGAUAUUUAACUAAUGAAAAUAACAAUAAAAAUAAGAAAAAAACUGUCUUUUUAUAUGAUCCUUGCGUGAAGCCUGAUUCAUCAAGUUUCGGUUCAAAUUUGUUAUAUUUACAUUUACCUGGUAUUAGAUUUAGUCUCUUGAUAAUAUUUCUGAUUGCCAGAUCUUUUUUCCCCCCUUUACUUGCUAAUUUUUCAAGUCUAAAGGAGGUUCUAAGUAUGCUCCAAGUAAUGUUGUUCUCUACUUAUCGGAAUCUCCACUUCUUUGUAUAUUAAUCUCUUAUUGCUUUUCUCUUGAUCAUCUUGGAACCAAUGAAUUGGCAGCUGACGACACUACAUUCGUUUCAAUCUGGGUGAUAUUUGAGAUAAUGCAAAUCCUUUGCACUGUCAGAUAUUAUGCCCAAGGAAAGAUAGACGAUAUUUCUAAUCCGUUCAUUUUCUUUUGCCUUUUUUUCUCCCUUUGUUGUGCUUUUCCUUUUAUCGAUAAAGUAAUAGUUUGUUGAUGUUGUGGGGGAAACACCAUAUACAAGAAGUAUAUCAAAUUGUAGAGAACUACGCGAAAAUAUUAUUCUCUAUAAAACACAUCCAGCUAUACUAACAGGAACCUCAUUGGUGCUCCAACCAUUAUCUAAAUUAUAAGCCAUGUUCUAAUCUUUACAAAGCCGUAUUCCACCCCUUCAAAAUCUGUCAGUUAUUGUGCUAUUAUUUAUCAGUAUACUAUUUACUGCAUCAGAGAAGUACAAGGCAGCCUCUAAUUUUGUAUAUUGCAAGUCAUGAGAGAGAGGCUUUGUCAAGAAGUUUAUUCUUUCAGAUUAUUGAAUAGAAAAAUAUUAUAAUUUUGAGCUUUAUCUUAUUCCUUAUUUUCAAAUACCAACAUUGUCAACUUAGAACUUCCCUCAAACAAUAAAGGGCAGCCCGGUGCACGAAGCAUCCCGCAUUCAUGCAAGGUUUUAAGGUAGGCAGCCUACCCUGAUGCAAGCAUCAGUAGCUUAUUUCACGGCACGGCUCGAACCCGUGACAUAUAGGUAAUAGGUCACACGGAGACAACUUUACCAUUGCUCCAAGGGUCCCCUUCAACUUCCCUCGAACAAUGCCAAAACCAUUUCAUUGCAACUCAAAAACUUUAUAAAAGGUGCAAAAAUCUUUAACUGCAUGAUGGGUUGAUUUUCAUCAAAAUGAAUUCAUUUUAUCAUGACAGUAACUUUAUGUGUCUAGGUUUCAUUCAGUCCUUGUAGUUGAUUUUCUAGAAUAAUAGUAUAUUGACAAAGUAUAUUAACAAUGAAGCAAUGAAAGAAGUGACAGAAGAAUUUGAGGAAGGCUGAAAAAUCAGUAUCAUAUAUCUCUUGAAAAAACAGUUUCUAGAUAAAGAUUCUAAAACAUCUAAUUGAAGAGUUUUAGAUUAACUUUUAGAUACUAUUGUUUUAUGAAGGUCGUUCUCGUUGCAGAUAUCAUAUUUUUUUUAUUUUUUUUCUUUGUCAAUCUUCAGACACUACUUCAUUUUCUUGUUGGUACUGUAUGCAGCCUUUCUUGAAAUUUUAGCAUUUAUUCUUGAACUUCUUUAGGGUAUCAAUCUUAAAUAGUGUGAUAGCAUCUUCCUCUUAUUAUUCCUGAUUCCUGAUUUCUAGUGUAAACUGAUAAUCUCUUCUUUAACAUCACUUUUUGCUUUCCAUGUUUCAGGCCCUUGAUACCUUCAACACUGCCGUUGUAUCUCCUAUAUACUAUGUUAUGUUCACAACAUUGACUAUUGUUGCCAGUGUCAUCAUGUUUAAGGUAUUAGCAUCUACCUUUUUUUCUUUUGUUGCUUUGUGUUGAGCUUGCUAUAGAAUGAUGAGUACAAUUAGAGUCAAUCCGCUUCUUGGGAAUUUAUCCCAAAGUUUACGGACAGUCACAAAAUAGCAUGACUUGGAACGAAGCUAGGAAUUUCGCUAAUGGUGUUCAAGAUUUAAUAUAUAUCUAUAUUAUAUUAAUAUAUUAAGAGCACGAAGGCCCUUAACGAAAUGUCGUUCGUCUUUUUUACCCUGUAAAAAUAGAGUUCACACUAGACAAAACAGUCAUUUAUAUUAAUUUCCUAAUAUGUAGGAAUGAUCAUUUAAUUAAUUUCCUAAUAUUUAGGAAUAGUCAUUUAAUUACAACCUAAAUACUUAGGGCUUUAAUUUUAACUAAAAUUUGGUUAAUAUUGGUAAAAAGUUCUCAUAUUUAGAAAUUCAAAAGCAGUAUAUUUCUACUUACAAAUAUGGUAGUCAAUAUUUCUAAUUCCUAUUUCGAUAUUCUAAGUUUGUUAUUAAACUAAGACAGAAAAAAAAGGUUGUUAACUUAUCAAUUUCUAACUCAAAUAAGGAUAUGAUAAUAACAAAACUAUCAAUUUGUUUGACAUUGAAUGUCUUUUAUUCGUAGACAGAAUUUUAUGCAUUAAAUUCUUUCUUAUGUAUUUCUGCAAAAUUUUUCUUUUUUGAAUGAUGUAACAUAGUAAUUUAUAAAAGACAAUUAAUACCAUAAAUUAAACAAUUAACACAAAAUAAGUAAAAAGUAGUUAUUACUUAUUGUAUGUUUGAAUUACUCUUUGGCGCAUAACUAUAACCAAUUAAUUUUAUCUUAGUAAAAAAGAAAUUAGAGAAAGACAAAGUUUAAAUUACAACGGAAGUCGAUAAAGUCGACCGGCACUUCUUCGAUUUUUCUUAUUCUUAAUUCUAGAUUUAUUAUCAAAUGUAGAAUUCCCAUAAAUUUUGCAUACUUUAAUUAUCUUAGUAAAAUGAAAAAGAAAAGCCCUUUACGUGAAAAAUUAUGAUUGAUUCUCUGGUAUACAAUAGAAUAUCCAUUAUCCUUUGACCAAACAUGCCUUCUAUAAAAUUCAUGUAUCAAAAUGUAAAUAAACAUUCUAAUAAAUACGAUAAUUAGAUAUAAAUAGCCUAACUUCUACAAUUACGAUACUCUGUUACUCAACAUCAAAUUUAAUAAGUACUUUUAAAAUGACACAUUAUAAUUGCACGUGGGAUAGUCACAUAGUUGCAUAUACUCUAAAAGUACGGAAAAGGCCUCUUUUCAUUUAUGUAUGAAGUCAUAUUUCGUAGGACUUUAAAAUUCAUUAAAAGCAGUUAGAAAUGGUUACUUAAAUAUGUAGAAAGUCCUCUUUCGACCAACAUUUUCAUUUUCAUAAACUUAUAUUUUUCUAUUUAAUUUUUAUUUUAUAACUCAAAUAUAUUGGUAAAAAUGUUAAUGUAACUUUUUAAUAUAUAUACUUAUUAAUGUAGGUACAUGCGCAAAGCGCGUACCCUAAGACUAGUAUGUAUAAAAAGUAUUAUUUGAUCUAUGUACACAAUUUAUUAUUUUCCAGCAAAGGGUGUUCAACUGACCAUCCUUUGCUAAGGGUAGCUCCGCCCUUUCUUGGAAAUAACACCAACAACUGCGUCUCAAUCCUAAUCAAGUUAGGUCUGAUAUCAGUGUUGUCAAAGGCUCAUUUAAGGCGCUUCGCGUCCCUUGAGCUGUGCUUCAGUGUAGGCAAGCCACCAAAGACGUGCCCCUUAUUGCUCAUGAAUUCUAUCUUGAAUGGAGCAAUGCUAGACUACAAAUAUAAUCGGCAAAUAAGUGUAUUAGUUGUUAUGGAAAAUAAUAUGAAUGAUUGUGAGUUGUUUAUUUCAAGAAUAGGUUGUUACUUUUCUAUUGAAUUACAUAUAUAUUUUUAUUUUUUUCUAGCAUUGCGCCUUUUUUAUCUAAAGCCCACACUUAAAAUUGUGUUUUGCGCUUAAAGCCCCAAUUGACCUAGAGCGCUUUUUAGAGCUUUUCUCCUUUGACAACACUGUCUGAUAUAUGAAUCUUCACUUACCAUAGCGCUCCAUUUAAGGUCAUCUCAGAUCAAUAUUAUACAUGACUUGGAAAUAUCGACUAACAAGAACAAAAAAUUCUAUGCUGUUAGGGAUGUCAAAGACAUUUCUGCAUAUUGAUGAUGUGGAAUAUGAUUAGUUGUCCGAAACUCUGAUGUCAUACUUAUCGACCUAUUUAUACUAAAUUAUGUAGGACUGGGAUGGCCAGAAUGUUGGGAGCAUUAUAUCAGGAAUAUGUGGUUUUAUCGUUGUGCUGUCCGGAACCAUCUUGUUGCAUGUUACCAAAGAUAUGGAGAGAAGUUCAUCUUUCAGAGGUUCAUUAUUCUUCAUACUAUAAUUUUUAUGAAAAAUACUGAUAUUCUUCCCCUAAAUACUUAAUAUCAUAAAUGCUCUAGCUCUAAAAGUAAUAUCAAAAUGCAGGUACAAGUUACACACCUUUAUCCCCGACAUUAUCAACCCGACUAUGUAAUACAAAUGGGGAAUCACUUAAGCAUGAAGAAGAAAGUGGAUCGUUUUCUGAGGAAGUCGAUUCUAGACGACAGGAACUCCAGGUUUAAUAUGAACGAUUUUUUAUUAGAAAGUGAAGCAUGCAACCGUUAAUCCAUAGCAAACGUCCAAAGCUGCAGCGUGUCAAUUUCUUCUUCUAUUGCAUCUGUUUUUCUAGCAGCAAGGUAAGGAUUUCGCAGGAUCUUAAAGAAAGAGCUAUUGAAAGAUCAUCACAUGGCAGCUUUCGUUGUGCUUUCGUUGGCAGAACGAAAACUAAAGAAUUUGUUUAUAGUUAUAGCAGUUUCAAAUAUUGGUUUAGUGUACAUCCUUAAGCAUCACAGUUGUAGUCGCGGUGAAUUGCAAAAUAUCUAUAAUAACAGAGGAAUGAUGAAAGGUUGAAUAUUAGGAGUGAUUUAAUUCUUUUUUGCUUUUUCUCUUUUUCCUGUCCCUAAUUUUGCUGGAAUGUAUCUUGUAUAUGUAUAGCAUUUGUUUUGAAGUAUUGGGUGGAGUUUUUGUUUAUGUUUCAUUUUUUAAUGAACUUGAGAUCAGAUGAUGUUUGAUUGACUUCAAUAACACUGCCUUUCUUUUCAAGCGAUUUUACACUGUCAGUGUAUUAGGGUAGAAGGCUAGUAGGUAAUCGAGAGUUCCCCUUUCAUUACCUAUAGUAUUAGUAGCACUCUUGUAUUUUCAUAUUCUUCUAUAUCUAUUAUUUGCAUGUUGUUUCGUUCGCUUUGUUUAUUUUAUUUCCCUGUUGUUACUAUUUGAUGUUACUUUUUCUUCUUCGGCUUCUCCUCUUCUCCCCUUCUUCCUUGUCUUUUGUUUUCUUCUUCUUUCGUUCUUUUUCCCUUUUCACCUUUUCUUGAGUCGAGUGUCUAUUAGAAACAGCCUUUGUACCUCACCAGCUGUAAGGUUUGUGUACACUCUAUCCUCCCCAUACCUUACUUGUGGGAUUAUACUGGGUAUGUUGUUGUUGUUUACGUUGUCAGUGUAUAUAAGUUUAAAAUCCAUAGACUAAUAAGAGGUAGGGAUUCUUUACCUCUUUGACUAAUAGAUUCUCAUCUUUUAGCACUAUUCAGUAACUCAGCCUUGACUUUCAUUUAUCAUCUUGAUCUCUAUUUAAAUUCUAAUUUUUUAUCUUACUUUUUCCCAGCCACUCGAAAAGGUUAAGAUCUCUUUUAUUAAAUCCAUGUUUACGUUUUGGUAAGCGAACAUUGAGACUAAUCUAUUUUACCUAAUUACACUUUGUACAGUUUCAUUGAUCUCAUUAUCACACAAAACUACUCAAAAAUUAUCUUUAAGAAAAAGGAGCUGUAAUAUUCGUCAUAUUUUUUUGACUUCAAUUAUUUCACUUUGUGCAGUUAACCAUGAAUUUUUCUGGAAAAUGAUUUUUAUAAGAUCUUCGUGAAACUCACAACAAAAACCUUCAUGCAAGUAGAGGUGGGGAGAGGUGAUUAGGCAAGACAUGGCGCAACUUCAGCUGACCGAAUACAUGACCCUUGAUAGGAAGGUAUGGAGGUCGAGGAUUAGGGUAGUAGAGUAGGUAGUAUAGAGUGUUCUUAACAGUAGUAUCGGCACGCAGUAUCGCUUUCUGUUGGUAGUGGGUUUUAAUUGACUAACCGUUGUUUUCUUUCAUCGUUAUCACCUUACUAUCUUGUUAUCUUUAUUCUACUUUUUAUAUGGCUUUUUUGGAUUGUUCCUUCUUGUCUAUAUUUUCAGUAAUGUGGUGCUUAUGCCGAGGGUGUAUUGGAAACAGUUUAUCUAUCCUAACAAGGUAGGUGUAAGGUCUAUGUACACACUACCCUCCCUAGACCCCACAGUGUGGGAUAAUACUAGGUAUGUUGUUGUUGUUUGGGUCCUACAAACCAUAGGGAAAAUGUUAAAAUCAGACAAACGGCAAAGAAAUGGAAAAAAUGUUUGAAAACAAAAAACAUUUUAUUUAUUUAUAGGUCCUACAAACAAGAGGGAAAAUGUUAAAAGCAGACAAACGGCAAAGAGUUGGAAAAAAUGUUUGAAAGCAAAAAAAAAAAACGAUCACCGACUCUGCUGGGGAUCGAACCCAGAAUCUCUGGUUCCGUAGACCAGCGCCUUAUCCAUUGGGCCACAGAGUCUUGCAUGUUUUAUUACUUGACUUAAUAUAUUUUAUUAACCAAUACAUCGAUUACUUGAGAGUAAACACAUUUGAAGAUAAGUCAUGAUAUUCGGGAUCGGACAAAGUCUACUAUAAAAGCGGAUCCCUACUAAUAGUGAUACCUCACUUCUCGUUUUUCCCUCGAAAAAGUUGGUAGAAAUGAACAUUUUGCACCUCAUAUGUAUCAUGUUUUAACUUGAAUCCUUUUGUUUUACAAUGUUCUCCCUAAUGUAAGCAACAUUUCUUGAUUUCACAAUGUCUUUUGACUUUUUCUAAUUUGCUACCAAAUGUAUCACAGUCUAUCAGAAACAACCUUUCUAUCUUCAAGUUAACCGUAAGGUUUGCGUACACUCUAUCCUCUCUAAACCCCACUUAUGGGAUUAAUUGGGUUGUUGUUGUUAUUUGCUACCAAAUGUAUCACUACGAUUUAUUUUGCGCCUUUUGCUUUUUAAUAAACGGAAAAGGUCUAAAUAUGCCCUUGUACAGUACGAAAUUGAGCACAUUUGCCAUUCGUUAAUACUUUAGCUCAAAUACGCCCUUACCGUCACAUAGUUGGUCCAUAUAUGCCAUUAGAGUUACACAGUUGGCCCAUAUAUACCCUUUUUCGAAACGGAAUCCACCCAAACUAAUUAGCUAUUUCGUUAAUUAUAUUAAAGUGUAUUACAAACACUAUUUCCUUUUUAUUAGUACCUUUUUUUUUCUUUACCUUUCUUUUUUCUUUCUUCUUUUUUCUUUUCGUUCUCUUUUUUUUUUUCCCUUUUUCUUUCUCCCUUAUCCGAUUUCCUCCAUUACUGAUGUCUUCUCCAUUUUCGUCACCAAUUUCACUUGACAAAACUCAUGAAUUUCAAUUACUAAGAAAAUUCUCCCAUAAGAAUUUUUUUAUAGAUCAUNNNNNNNNNNNNNNNNNNNNNNNNAUUGGUUUGGUUUGGUUUGGUUUUGAUAAAAACCGAACCAACCCGUUCCAUGUAAACCCCUAAUUUUCAUAGUUAAUAAAAAAAAUAGAUCCAGUUGAAAAAAGAUGAAAAAAGAUUAACAACUUAAAUUUAUAACAUUACAACUUGAACUUUAGGCUUUUAAUCAUUAAAUUAUCUUUCUGAAAAUAAUUUAAAUAUUUUGGUCUUUUGAGUAUUGUUAAAGGUUGAGAUGCUUUUAUUAUUUUAAAGUUUAAACCAUAAUUUUUGGAACAAUUUAAUUUCGUUUAUUUAGAGGGCUAGUGAAAUUGGAACUUGAUUACCUUAUGGGAGAAUUUUCUUAGUAAUUGGAAUUCAUGAGUUUUGUCAAGUGAAAUUGGUGACGAAAAUGGAGAAGACAUAAGUAAUGGAGGAAAUCGGAUAAGGGAGAAAGAAAAAGGGGGAAAAAUGAAGAAAAGAAAAAAGAAGAAAGAAAAGAGAAAGGUAAAUAAAAAAAAGUACUAAUAAAAAGGAAAUAGUGUUUGUAAUACACUUUAAUACAAUUAACGAAAUAGCUAAUUAGUUUGAUUGGAUUCCGUUUCGAAAAGGGUAUAUAUAAGCCAACUGUGUAACUCUAAGGGCAUAUAUAGACCAACUAUGUGACGGUAAGGGCGAAUUUGAGCUAAAGUAUUAACGAAGGGCAAAUGUGCUCAAUUUCGUAUAAUACAAGGGCAUAUUUGAACCUUUGCCCUUUAAUAAAUCAUAAAAACACUUAAUUUAAAGGGACAGAAUCGACUACUAUACAUUUCAAAAGCAACAUAGCAACUACCAGAAAUUAUAGCAAAAUAACACACUUCUUUCAAUGACUUCUAGAACGAGAAUUAUGUUAAAAUGUCAGUGUUUAACGGGAUUGGUGUGACAACUGAGGCAGAACUAUAAAUUUUGAUGAAUGUCUGCUAAAGUGUGCAUUUUUCUAAGGAUUUGGAGAACCAAAAACGAUCUUUAAAAGUGCAAUUGAUUAGGAUAGAGAAAGGUGAUUAAGUAGUGAAGGAGAAGAAGAUCAACGAACGCAGGGAUGAAAAAUGAGUUGGAAAGAGAGUAGAGACAACAACAACAACAACAACAACAACAACGCAUCCAGUAAAAUCCCACAAGUGAUUUCCGAUAAAAAAUGAGUUAGAAAAAGCGAGUAGAGAGAUGAAGAUAUGUUGUUCUUGUACAAUAUUCCAUUGUACAAGAAAAAAUGAUGCUUUUCUCUAUGUAGACAAUGGCAGAUCCAACCAUGCGUUUACUAACUCGAGAAACCCAGUCCUUUCAAGUCUCCUUAUAUAUGUGUGCGUAAAAAAAAGUGUAGAUAGAGUUAGAUAUACAUUUUAGACUCAUUCUCUCAACCUGGAAUCCAUGGCGUCUAAAUUUCUGAAUCCGCUACUGUGUGUAAAUAGCCAGUUAUGAACAAGUUAAGAGUUCGGCGAAACCUUCAUGAUUUCAAUACGCAAAGAAACCCGAAUAUCAGAGGGAGAAGGGAAACCAACUCUUGUUGUAUAGAACAUUUCUGCUAGAAUUUAGACGAACAUAGACAAGUCAUCAUUAUUACAAAUAAGACCAUCAAACAAAGCUACCUACAUCCUUGCUUCAGUUGCAGCUGUCAGUGUUUCUAUAAAGAAAGAAGUAUCAAAACCUCAGAUGUAUACAUAGACCAGUGCGGGGGAGUCCGUUAUGCACGUUAGUGGUUACCGAUGGGUCAUUUCUUGCGGGAUAAAGCAGCUACAAUUCCACCAGCCAGGAUACCAACUGCAGUAACAGCAGUAGCAGCAAUGCCAAUGCCAAUAACUCCAUCUGCUAGGACAAAGCAAAAUGAGUAACCCUUAAACUCUUUCUUUAACCAGAAACAGAUUCUGAUAAAUAAUUUAAGACAUAUAUUCCGUUUGCUACCUUUUGUGAUUUUGUCUUCAAUAGUUUGUUUGAGUGUCAAAGCCUGUCUCCAAUCCGGUGCAAUCUACAGAUUCAAACAGCUACAAAUUAAGACUGUUGAAAAACAGAGGUUGAAAGAACUGAAAGACUAAUAGAACUCGAGCUUAGUUCAAGUAUGCAAUUCCUAAAUUUCAUAAAUCAAGCUGCCAAAAACUUCAGUCCAAAACAUACUUACAGAGAAAACAUCAUAGCCUGGAAACAAAUAUCUCAAGUUUUUAACGCCAAUGUGAAGAGAUAAUAUCCCAGCAAAGAUUGAAAGACAAAGAUCAAACCUCCAAACAACGCUCAACAAGCUGUCUGCUUCUUGCAUAGUCCCCACUUCUGUAGUAGCCAACAGCCAGAAGAUAAAUCUUUUCCCUCAUUUGCAGGGGACUGUUACUGCCACCCAGAGAUGCUGCAAAUGACAAAAUAAGUCAGACAUCUUCCAAAUAGCCAGGUAGGAACUAUAUUUCAAAGGAAGGAAGCUGGUUAAAAGAGAAGUUACAACAAUAAAUUGCAACGCAAAAGGAGAAGAUAGGAGGAGGGAGAGGAGUACAAAGCUAAAACGAUUAAGAGCUAGGGAAAAGACAAAUUUAUAAGCCAAAACAUGGAUUCCAGGGGGCAUGAAAAGCAAGAACAUGCCAGAGUCGAGAAUGAAAAGGGGGCAUGGAUUCCAAAGCAAGAGGAUUAAAGAUCUCACCUUCAAGCAUUGCUAUUCCACGUUGCACGUCUUCUGGCCGUUUUGAGUGAACAAGAGCCCAUGACAGACGCAUGAUGCAUUCACUUUUGAGUUCAUCAGAGGAACCUUUUUCCGCCUCAGCAACUUCAUGUUCACAACCCUGUACAGUGUACACAGAUUGCCCUCGUGAGAGACUCAGAUACUCUCAAUAUUACCUUGAUCAGGUCUCGCUAGCAAAUGCAAAUCAAUUAUAAAUUUACACGUUAUUCUCUUAAACCAAGCAAGUCUCUUUCAGCAAGAUAUACAGAGAGAGUUUUCAAACUUUCUGGAAGACGCGUUAACCAACAUCUUCCAAAUAUUUGUUGGCAAAUGAUUGCCUAAGAUGCUAUCUACUAUGCUAUCCUUCAAACAUACUCUCCCCUUUAGUCCCUGUUAUAAUUAUCAACACCAUGAAUCCCUAGAGAUGGUUGGCACCCCACAAUGAAUUUCUGCUUCGAAUGUGUAAUGAUUAUUCAAGGAAAACACACAAAAUUGACGCACGAUCAUCCAGACUCCAGAGAGCCAAGUGAGCAGACCGACCUAAACUCUUUUGUUCUGUUGUCUUGAGUGGAAUGGUUUGUGGGCAUCAGAUAUGCUUUAAGUGCCUCUGAUUUGAGUUCAGAAAUCACUUGAGAGUCAUAUCUCAUAUCUGAACUCCAAUAGUAGUUAAAAAUGGUACUGUCUUUCAACAAAGUAAGCAACACCAGUCUGAUAUACAUCAUAUAAAUAGUUUGUAGUAAAGUUGCCACGACAGCUUACUCAUUUUACCUGGAAGCUUUUCAUCUCUCGGGUGGUUGUGUUUCUCUAACAUAUAUUUCUUUCUUGCUUAAAGCUACUGAUUUAUGUUACCUUCUGGAAAUGAGAUCAAGACCUCAAAAGACAACUAUUGAAAGUAAAACAAAGAAGGACUGGGGAAGCUAAAAUUGGUAAAUCACUUGCUAAGUCAAUUAUGUUGCACUUAAAAUGUAAAUAUUCUCCAGAUCGCCGCUCUAUAUAAAUCAAACCCAUUGCAAACAUAUUCAUACUGCUCGGAAAAAAUAAAAAAAUAAAAAGCAAAGUUCAUUUUGAGCUCUUAUUUUGGAUUGAUUUGAAAACCACUUGAAAACGUGCCUUCCAAAAUCUUAAACCGAAACUUAUAAUUUUGAAAUUUCCUCUUUAUCCACAUUUCUUUGUUCAAACCAUCCCUAACCAUUUUUAUUCCCCCCACUCCCACCCCCAAAAAAACCACACGCACACACACCCGACCUUCAGCUAAAGAAUCCCUCAGCAUGCACCUAAACAGGCUACUCCAUAAUUUGCCGCAAAACCCAUCUGAGUUAGUUCUUUCCUUCUCAACUUCAAAAUAAAGAAACAACAAACAAACAAACUUCAACUAUGCCUCAGUCCCAACCAAAUUUGGAGUCAACUAUAUGAAUCCUCACUGACCAUGUUACACCAUUUAAACUUAUAUCAUCCCAAUAUUAUGCAAAUAGACAUAAAAAUUAUCAUAAGUUCUCUAUAUUUCCGAACUUAUAAAUCUCUGAAAGGCUAAAUCAUUUCGUUGAUACAAGGACCUAAAGUAAAAGUGCUAACAUCUCAAACAUAUUCUCAACUAAUAGGUAACGCUAUGCUCAAUCUUUCACUGAGUCUGCACGAAUACCUAGAGAUCAUAGGAUAAACACCAACUAUACAAAAUUUCAAAUGAAAAAAACAGAUGUAUUGAUAAAAUAGCAAUUUACUGAUAAACCCACCAAAGCUUUAUAAAUCAAAUUGCAAAAUUAUUGAUAAAUAAGGUGCUUACAGUGACAAUAUUGGAAUCACACCAAGGAAUCUGAUCUCCGCCGCUGAAGAAAUUUCCGACCGAUUCCAUGAAUUUUCCGAUCUUCGCUUCCAUGUUUCUCUAGCUUGUACGUUAUGCUGCUAGUAUUGUACGUAGUGGGGUUUAAGGAGAUGUGUGUAACCAGAGGGGGUUUUCUGAAGUAAGGAAAUACAACUUGGGAGUAUAAAGUGAAUUGCUUUUUGACUCACUUUGAUGGUUGAAAAUUAGCGUCUGCGCCCAUAGAGUUUUAAAAAUUGAACUUAGAUCCUAAACUUUCCAUUGUUCUUAAAUAGUCACUUCCUUCCUUUUUAGUUGUCAUGUUUUCCUUUUCAAUAGUCAAUUUAAACAAUCUUUCAAGGAUCAAUUUAAUAUUUAAAAAUUAUAUAAAAAGUACUACAAAUUACUAUUCUUCUCAUGUCAAUACAUUCAAAUGUUAUAUUUUUUAAAUAUUGAUCAAAGUUCACAUAGUUUGAAUUUCGAGAAACAAAAUAUGACAAUAAAUUUGGAAAGAAUGGAGUAUAAAUGUGUGUCAUGCUGGUUUUCGAUUUUUAGUUUGUUCCCAAAUGAUCCUUAGAUAUUCACUUUGGUCUUUAAGUGACCUCAAAAUGGUUGUUGCUGGAUGGGUAUUAGUCGAUUUGGCGAUUCGACAAUAUGUUUAUAAAUAUGCUAAAUCAAUAAUAAAACCAAUAAAAUAUCAGUUAUUGGAUAUCAAUUAAUCGGUUCGAUCAUAACUAUUCAAUUAUUGAUUUAUCCGAUAAGACAAGGUAAUGCCUUAAUAAUCAAGGAGAUAACAAGAUAUUAAUAUUUUUUUUAAUCAGAAGCUUUAUAAGUUUAGAAGAUGGAUAUAAGUAAUGCCUUAACCGAUCAACUAUAGAGGUUGCUGGUUUUUAACAAAUAUGGGCAUGUAAUAUUCUUUUAGCAAUGAUAUUAAAGCUUACCUAAGGUAGCUUUUACACCUAAGAAUAAAAUUAUUAUUAAUAAAGCUUAUUGGGGUAUCUUAAAUCGUUAAUUAGGUAAAAUGUUAUUUAAUUAACCAAAUAACCCGAUAUUGAUAAUUCAAUAACGUAUUUUCAAUUCGAACUAUCGUUUCCUUUAGUUGUUGCUAAGUCAAUUUCAUAUCUUUUGCUUUAUGUUUUAGACACCUACAAUAUGACAAAUCAAGAGAAGAGAAUAGUGACAAAAUUGAAGUAUUUAAUUUCUGAAUACAGUGAAUGCAUGAUUUGCAUUUACUCUGUGAAUCUAAAGAGAGUUUCAUCUAAUUCUUAUUUUAAAAAAAUUGAUUCAAAGUAUACUAAAUACAUUAAUAUUUUUUUGUGUGUACUAGAUACAUUAAUAAUUAACCUCUAAAAUCAACAUGAAGAUUAAUAAAUAUCUUAUUUUGUUGGUAUUGUCAAACAAAACCCUUUUCCUAAAAAAGAAAAACAAGCCCCCCUUCACGGUGUGCAAAAUUGAAAGCAUUUAAUUCCCAAAAAAAAAAAAGUAACUGUAAAAAUCAAUAAUUCUCUUAUUCUAUAAGUGAGAGUUUAGUAGCUUUCGGUCAACAUGUCUGUUUCACUACAAGGGUAUUUCCGAUAUUUCACACUUUAUCUGCUUUAUAGGUAUUGUACAUGUUAGCUUUAUCACAUGUACAAGCUGAUAAAUUUUCAGGGCCCACAUGAAUUUCCCAGCUUUUUUGAAAUGGCCAUUUCCCAAUCACGUGGGUCCCCCAACAGUACAUAGCAGCUUUUUUAUGAUCUCUUUUAUACCCGACCCUCUUUUGCCUUGUAUUCUCCGGUCUAUCAAAACAAUUUCCGUAUCAUUUUUUGUGCAAAUUUUUAUAUUAUUUGUAGUUAUAAAUAAUGUAUUGUCAAGUCCCAGAAUCAAAAUUCAUUUCUAUGUUCCUUGAAAAGCUUUUCAUAAUGCCUUAGUUUUUUUUGGGAAUUUAACCUUUUAAAUUUUUUACUAUCCAACCCUAUUUCUCAUAUAAAAAGGAUCAUUAAAUUUUUUACUAUCCAACCCUAUUUCUCAUAUAAAAAGGAUCACCUUGUUAACUUUUAAAUUUCAAAGUUAUUAUUCAUUCCAAUUUAAGGUCAAUUUUUGUUGGAGUAAAGAAAAUAACAGUAUACGAACCUAAUACAGUGGAGAUAAUAUAAAAUACUUAUUGUAGUAAAGAAAAUUACUUUUUCUUAAUAAUAGAUUACUAUAAAAAAUAUAACAUCAUACAAACUAGGGGUGUACAUGGACCGGGUUGGUUCGGUUUUUAUCAAAACCAAACCAAACCAACUAUAUAGGUUUGGAUUGGUUCGGGUUUGUCGGAUUUUCGGGUUUUUUAUUACUUAAAUAUUAUUUUAAUCUUACUUUGUUAAAUAUUUGGUAGGUAAAUAUAUAUUUAGUAAAAAUAUAAAAAAUUGACAAACAUAUUAUUGAUUAAAAUAUUCUUAUGGGAGAAUUCUAUUAGUAACACAUAAUAGUUUUUUUUAGGCGUCUAACAAUAAUUUUUUGUUGAUGUACACUUUCAGGUUAACCGAAUUUAGUAAUUAAACAUAAAAAUCAAUAUGAUACCUAAAUAUUAAUAAUCACUUCACAUUCGAAAAAGAUAUAAGAAUUUAAUAGAUCUUAACAUAUGAUAUGAAUAUAGAAGAAUAAGAAGAUAGACACAUUUCAGUAACACUUGAUAAGAAAGUGAUCAUACAGCCCAGUAUUUAAGGUCAAUAAAUAUGAAGCACUUCAUAUUCUAUUAAAUUUUAUAUCCCGCAAGAGAAUCCCAAAUAUAUCUAGAUAUUUUUAAAGAAAAAUCUAUAUAAAAUUUUAAACGUAUAUAUAUAAAAUAUAUAUUUAUAUGUCGGACUGGUUCGGAUUUUUUUACUCAAUACCAAAUUAAAUCAAACCAAACCUAGUCGGAUUUUUUAAUCAAUUUUGUUUGACUUUUCGGUUUGGUGCGGUUUUUCGAUUCGGUUUGUACACCCCUAAUACAAACCUAAUAUUGUAGAAGUAGCAGAAGAUAUUCAUUUCCAAAGAAGCAAAUAUUUUUUAUUCAACAAUUUGUAAUAAAAGUAAAAUGAAUUAGGCACACAUAUUGAUAUGAAGAUUAAAUUCUGAAAUGAACAAUAAGCAAGCAAAGUUCAACAGUUUAAAUACAAGUAUUAUCAAGCUACAUAAUUAUAUCUUAUGCAAUUUACUGUAAUAUUGUUGGAGGUAUUAGCUAUUUUACAAUGAUAUUAAAGAUAGAUUCUCUAAUAAAGUAGAAGAAGAUCAUAUACAUUAUGCUAAUAUUAUAAAAACGGAGCAAGUACUUACUGGAUUUUUACAUAAGAAUAAAAUAGACAAAGAAGAAUUUAAUUGGGAUCCAGAGGGUAAAAAGAUAAAAUGACAAAGUACUGCUUAGGUAACUAUCUAUAAUUAUAGGAGUAGAAUUUAAUUAUGAUAUUAAUGAAAGGGAAUUAUUACCAUACUGAAAAUAUAAAAUAAAAAUUAGAUAUUUUGAUCAUUAUACAAUGUCAUUAUCGUUCUUAUAAAGACAACGAGAAUAAUAUAAUUAUAGUUUUAUAUAGAUUUUAGUCACAUUUUAUUAUACAUCCUUUUUCCUUUGAAAAAAGUGCCUAACACAAGUUAGUUUAUGUAUAAUCUUGUAGGGUUUGAAUUUAAUUUUUUGUAAGCAUUCAAUAAUAUUUGAUUAAGGUUUAGAAAAAGUAUUUGAAAUUGAAAUUGAAAAAAGAUUGUGCAUUAUAUUUGGACAUGAACUUGACUUCAAUACUGAAAAUUUGUGACUAAAAAUCAUAUUUAUUUCGUAAUAAAAUUAUUAAUUAAUUAAAAUUGUUUAAUUUUUUUAUUUGAGGCACUAUCCUUACUAGUAAACAAAAGAAAAGGGGGAAUUUAGGAAGUAUAGCGCUAUUUAUUUAUUUUGCCGCAAUAGUAAAGUGAGUAUUAAAUUCAGAAAAUUAAUUGAAAAUACAGAGAGAGAAUACGAACGUGUAAUAAAGAAGAAAAGAACUCAAAGCAAAACAAGCAAAGCAAAACCAUAAGUCCAUAACUUCUUCCCAGUGGCCAUUUAAUUUUUUCCUUUAUUUUCACAACAAUUCUCUUACCCUUCUGAUAAUAAUUCCUUCUCUAAUACAGAUUUGUGUCAAAUUACAAUUUUAUUGAUUUUUUCUUUUGCAUAUACAAAUCUAUUUUUUCCCCAAUUUUUUCAUCUGCAUAAGAUGCACAAAAGGGUGCUUCAAUUCUUGCAUUCUCCACCUGGAAGGUAUUAAGGUUUAGUCUUUGAGGUGAUAGAGCAACGUAUAGAGGAAAUAAGGAAAACCCCAGAAAAAUUUUGGUGAAAAAUCAUGGAAGGUAUAAAAAUUUGACCUUUUUUUUCCAUUACAGAUCAAAAUUUAAUUGUAAUUGGGUGUUUUACCACUGUGUUGGAUUUUACGAUUUUGGGCGUUUUAUUGGUUUUAGAAAUAUUGAGUUCUGUGUGCAGUUUUAAGUUUUGUUCUAUGGGUAAAUUACAGUUUCUGCUUUGUUGUGAGUUUAAAGUUUUGCAAUUUUUAGUUCUGUGAUAUUGAGUUAGAUGUUCUUUUUGGUGAUAAAUCAUAAUGAAAGGUAUCAAAAUUCUACCUUCUUUGGUUACAGAUCAAAAUCAAAUGUAAUUCUGGGUGUUUUACCACUGUGUUGGAUUUUGCAAUUCCAGGUGUUAUUAGAAAUAUUGGGUUCUGUGUGCUGUUUUAAGUUGAGGUCUAUGGGUAAAUUACAGUUUCUGCAUUGUUGUGAGUUUUAAGUUUUGCAAUUUUUAGUUCUGUGAUAUUGAGCUGAUGUUCUUUUUGGUGAUAAAUCAUAAUGAAAGGUAUCAAAAUACUACCUUCUUUGGUUACAGAUCAAAAUCAAAUGUAAUUCUGGGUGUUUUACCAUUGUGUUGGAUUUUGUAAUUGUAGGUGUUUCUUGGAUUUUAGAAAUAUUGGGUUUUAUGUGCUGUUUUUAGUUGAGUUCUAUGGGUAAAUUACAGUUUCUGCAUUGUUGUGAGUUUAAAGAUUCUGAUAUUGCAGCUGAUGAGCUUUAGGUGUUCUUUUUUGAGAGAUCGAUCGUUGGAUUUUUGUACAGUGAUUAAGCCUUGAUGUUCUCUUUAGUAGAGAAUGUUGAUAUCUGAUAGUUCAUGGUGUAUAAAUAUUGUAAAUCAUGCUUCAUGGCUAAAGAAAACAAUAAAAUUAAAUAACAAUGGUAUUGAUCGGAAUAGAUAUAGAGGAUUCACAUAAUCUGAUCAGGGGUUGGGCGCAGUUGAUUGAUGAUCGAUUAAUAAAGGUUCCAGAUGAUUGGGCAAUUUGUUGAUUGAAUAUUCCUUUUUACCUUGAGAUUACGUGCAAUGUAGGUAUUUUGUGGUUUUGUGUGCCUUUUAGGGGGUGGGGAUUUGAAUGUUUUGCUGGCAUGCAGAUUACCUUAUUUGUAAUAUGAUAUUUGCAGUGUUCUGACAAAGGAGGUGUUAAUUGGUUAUGAUGAUAGGGAAUGGAUUAAAUUUGGAAUUAACUUCGAGUGGUUGAAACUUGACUCCUGAUUAAGGAAAAAAAAAGUGGUUGAAACUUGGGAUGAUGAUGGUUGAGAUUGCCUUUUUUCCCCCUUUCUAUGCUAGGUGCAUGACUAAGAUCACUGGUUAUCAAGUACGUAGUGUAUUUGAAUUGGGGAAUGCCCCUUUCCUAGUACUGGAAUUCACUUAUAAGUUAAACUCAAAAUAAAUUAUAUGGAUGUGCUAAAGUGAUAUAGCCAGAUGUGACUAGAGUCAAUUCAGAUGAGAUAGGGAGGAGUAAGUAAUGAACUACUGUUUCGUCUUUUAUACCUAUCACCUUCUGAAGUGCUCCAUUAUCACAAAAUUGUUAUACAUGAUCCCCUCCCAAAGUCCCUUCUUUUAAAUGCUUACUGGUUACUAUACCAACUUCAGUCUCUAGAUUCCUUGAGAAAAAGUUCUUUUCUUUUUUUUCUUUUUGGUUUUGGAUUCUUGAUGUUUCAUAUAAUAGUUAUGAAUUUGGUCAAUUUAUAUACGAAAGCAAAUAUUAUUUCUUUUUGAAGUAGAAUCCAUUAUUGUUGGAACAGUUAAUAGUCCUUAUUUCCUGCUUGGAUAAUAGUUAAAUUAUUAAGGCUGUCAACCUUUUGCAGAUUUAUGUGAAGUGCAUUCUGAAGACGAUAAAGGCCACCAUGAGAAAAACAAGAAAAGAAUAAUCAAGACACGUGCUCAGGUCGAAGCCCUAGAGAAACUUUAUGAGGGUAAGAGAUCGUAUUUACUAUUUUUUGUUUUGCAGUUAGCUACUACAUCAUACCUGUUGUUCCGGACAUAGCAAUAAGAGAAAGCUUAUUAAUUUUCAGAACACAAGUACCCUACAGAUGAGAUGAAAGCUGAUCUGGCAGAGACAUCGGGAUUAACAGAAAAGCAAAUUUCUGGUUGGUUUUGUCAUAGGCGGUUGAAGGACAAGAGGCUGUCAAAAGGAGAAAUAUAUGCAAAUGGAAGACAAGAUCGUUCAAGUGGCGUCAUUCAGGACCAUGGCAGUGGAUUUAGACAGGAUUCUUGUGGUAGCACCAAGCAAGCGGAUGAUAAGAGAUUUGAUCAUCGGGAAGUUGAGAGUAGAAGAUUAACUGGCCCAGAAUUCUCAACUGCAGAGGUGACAUAUGAGGUUGGCACUCAUUUUAGAGGGAAGUCUAAUCGCAUGGAUGACGCAUCUUCAAGAAGUAGCUCUUCAUUACGGAAUGAAUGUUUUUCGCAAAAUGCAGAAUCAUAUGAUAUAGCAACUUCGAGAUACAUAUCGCAGAAUUUACCUACUGACUUUAAGGGUGUAAAACCAAAGAAUGGCCCAUCUGGGUAUUUAAAAGUAAAGGGUCAGGUAGAGAAUGCUGCAAUUACUACUGUGAAGAGGCAAUUGGGGAGGCACUACCGACUGGAUGGUCCAGCCCUUGGUGUUGAAUUUGAUCCACUUCCACCUGGUGCUUUUGAAUCAGCAGUGCCAAAUCCUGUCAAUGGUGAGGUCAAAUGCUUGUUUGUUUUUUGGUGUUUUGGUUAUCCAAGUUUUACGAGCCUGUCUGGAAUUACUCUCUUUUUUUCAGCUCGUAUGCCUUAAUCUUUCAAGAAGAUGCCUCCUUUUUUCUGCUUUGCCAUGCUUAGUUCUUAUUCAGUGGGGCUGCUUACUUGUUGUCGUGUAUCAUAUUUUAUAUGAAUACACAACUUUUUGUCUUAUCAAAGUUUUAUCUUAGAAACAGGAUUAUGCUGCCAGCUAUGUUUUGCUUCAGCUUUCGUUGCGUCUUCCAUAUAUUGGGCAAUAACUGUUAAACUUAUCUUCUUCACAUCUGAGGGGAUUAAAAUUGGAACAUUUUUCAUUAUUUUAUCAACUAUGCUGAGCACUUUAUUAUACACAUGGAAUUUUGUUUGUAAAAUUAUUCUUAGGCAUUAGUCCAUGGUGUAUGAUAUUGACAUAGAUGUCAACCUUGAUUCUGUAUUUACAAUAAGAGUUUGAUGGAUUUUUCAUGCUGAAUGUCAAUCUCUUAUUAGUAUGUCCAGUAUCACCUCUAUUCUGUGUUAUAUAUAUAUAUAUAUAUAUAUAUAUAUAUAAUUCUUAAUGUUACAUUUCUUGGUUGUAUGUCUGAAAUAUGGAUUCUCUAGUUACUUAGUUUCCUGAUACAAGGCGUUGCUCACUGAUAUUGUGAUAUGAAUGUUUCACAGACCCUUGUUAUGCUACUGAACCUGUUCCAGAUUGCUCACCAGAUAUGUCCAAUGUCUACAGGCGGUCAAAUGUAAGUGGAUCUUGCCGCAUUCCUCUUAAUUAAUUUGGUAAACCUCAAUUUAAGAAUUUCAGAAACGUGAACGUUCUGCAUAUUCCGCUGUCUCUUUACAUCUUCUUGAGUUGAGGGUCUUUCGGAAACAGCCUCUCUACCCUCUCUACUCCUGGGGAGCAGGGGUAAGGUGUAAGGUAUGCGUACACACUACCCUCCCCAUACCCCACUUGUGGGAUUCCACUGGGUUGUUGUUGUUAUUGUUGUUGUUGUUGUUGUGAAUGUUCUGCAUAUUGCACAAGAAUGCUUAAUUUGUUCUGUCAACUCAAUCAAGGAUCUAAGGAAGUGCCAUAUUUAGAAGUUUGUAGCAAAACUGCACAAAUUUGUGUAUAAUUCACUGUACUUCAACUAUUGUGUGAUAUGGAAUGUUGAAACAUAUUUGAAGCUUGCGGUGGUAAAUUCUUAGAUGGUGCAUCUUUGAUGGACUAGAUUGCCCUUUUGAUUACUGGUAUGGUGGCCAAAAUUAUAGAUUAGUUAUUAUCUCACAAAAGCUUGUACAAAUUCAAUAAUAUUUUUCUUGGCUUGCAUCUUUGGCGAAUUAGAGUGCUUUAUGGUUGGAUUAUCGGCCCAAAGUUUCUAACUGACCAAAACAAAGUUCUUAAAAAGUGUGCAUCCAAUAUACACGACCUAACUAUCUCUUCUAUGCAUUUACAUCUUCUUCUUUUCUUUUCCUUUUUUGAUAAGGUAAGAUAGAUAUGUAUUUGCAUCUUCUGGAUGCUUAUUAAUGAAAUAUCUUACUUCAUCAAAAUAAAAACUUGCUCUUUAAAUAUUACUCCAUAUUUUUCUUCGUUUUUUAGAAUUUUUCUCUUCCUUUUGUCCAUGAAGAGAGGCUUGUUUCAACUGGACUAUAAGAUACCAGAUUGGAUCUUUCAUGGCAAAACUAUUUUAAAUUGACAGGGGUUACUAUCUUCAGCUAAAGAUGGUUAUAUCUGUGGUCACAGUGGCGUAGCCACAUAGAGUGAAGGGCCCUCAUCGGAAAAUUAUACUAUGCUAUAUAGAAAUUAUACUGUUAAUAUAUGUAAAAAAUAUUUUUUAUACAUAUAUAUUAAAAUUGAACCUUGUAUACCCUUCGCGAAAGUUCUGGCUUCGCCACCCUGCGGACUUAUCAAACUAAGGAUCGUUAUAGCAAUGGAAACUUUUAGCAAAGGAAUGGAAGGUUCUGGAGGCUGCUUCGGUGUUGUCGAUUUCCUUUAAACAUUAUAGUCCCAUUAUUUUUGAUAAAAAUAAUAUAAUACACUUCUAAAGUUAUUACCAGUCUAAUCACUUUGUUACAAAUAAAAUGCUUUUCUCCAAGGGAUUUACCAGUACUUGGUGUAAAGUACCAGAUUAGAUUCUCUAUAUCAUGACUAACCUUCUCCAAAUUCAGUGGAAUUACUGGCCAAGAAUAAAGAUUAGUACAUUAAUGGACUCUUUAGCAAAGUAAAGUAAGGUUUUGUAGGCUGCUUGAGUUCUAUUGAUAUUCUUUUGAAAUCAGCUCUGGUAUGAGAAUCAUGCUUUUGAAAGUUUGAAAGUGAUGGUUGCACUAAUCAAGAGAAUUCCUGAAUUCUUACAGAAAGGCUGCUUUGUGAUUACACCAGUGAUUUCGUUUGUCACUUACCUUUCUUGGGAAUCAAUAAAUAGUCUGUACUCUGAAGUAACCUCUGUCUUAGGAAUAAAAAUCACUCCUUUUUAUAUACGUAUCUUUUAAUUUUUAGGAUGGACUAAAACAGAAUUGUGCUUUACUUGUUUUUUAGGGCCACUCAUCUUUCCAAGUUACCAUAUAGAUCUUACUAUCUGAACCAAAGUCUCGUGAUAUGUGGUUUCUAUAAUUAUACAUAUUUUGUUUUUGCAUUGCCCCAUCAGGGACACAGAUCCAAUUCCAAGUCCAACUCGCAUGAUUCUGAUCUGGAUGGUUUGAGAUUCAAAAGAAAAACCAAUUCCGCUCUUCCUGAAUAUCACUUCAACCUAAAGCCUAAGCCGAAUUCCUCUGAGCAUAAUGAAUAUCCUAAGUGGAACUCGUCAUUAGACAUGUAUGAAGGCCCUGCAAGAAAAAUUGCAGCUGACAGCAGAGACAGCUGUAAGUUUAUGCUCAAACAUGGACGUGCAGAAAUUAGAGCUAGUACUGGCUCGAGCAAUGGUCUUCGAAGUCCUUAUUUUGGAAAAGUCAACGGGGAGCAAUUGAAACCUCGGUUCAGUAGCCACAGUGAAGUGAGCCUUAAGGCUGUUGAGAAGGAACAUUUUGAUUGCAAGCCUUCUGAUUAUAAGGGAAUUAACUAUCAUAAUUUUGAGGGGAAAGAGCUCCCCAAAAUAGUGGAAAAGGUAUAGUAUAGUACCAUAUUUGCUUUAUGUUACGUUGUUUUGUGGUUCAGCAAAUCCUGAUACCUAUUUCUUGAAAUAAUAUAUAGGAUCACAUCAGUGGAAAAAGGACAGCAGUUGAUGAAAACCACGAUCUAGUUCGUGUGAAGGUUCCGCGGCACAAUGAGACAAGGGUAAGCUUUAUGGUUGUUUUUGGUUAAUUCUUGCAAUUUCCUUUUGGUUUGGACAUGCUUAUGGGUUCUCUAAAUUAAAAUUUAAAGGUUGUACAUCGUCCAAUGGAUGAAGUUCCUGACCAUCAAGAGUACUUGAGGAGAGCACCUGUGGUAGAAAUUCCACUGCAGACAAAUCACCGGAUAAGGUUAGACCAACUUAAAGAACUUGAUCUUACACCACUUUGUAUGCAUGAAUUUGCAUCUGUGACUAGAUGUCAUAUUUACUCUUUGAAUGCCUUCUCUUAUUCAAUUUCGAAUUUAAAAUGGUAAUUUGAUGUACAGAAGAAUAUAUGGCUGUCCUUCUCAAAAUAUUUUUUUUCUCAAAAGGAAGAAUAUAUGGCUGUGUGUCAUGCCAUCUUAGAACUGAUUUAAGACCUUUAUUUGCUUAUCUUGGUCCAUCUCUAGAAGGUUGAUUCAUGAACAAAGUGCAGGCUAAUAUUAUCUAGUACAUGUGCAUUUAUCUUCUCGGCAGUUGCUAAGUUGUGAUGUUAUCUUAUCGAAUUUCCUACCUGCUAUGACCAAUUAUAAGAGCAAGGUGUUACGUACUAUUUUGCAAGCAAAAACCAAAGAUUUUGUAAAAUUCUUUCUGGUUAGCAAUGACUCUGUUUGUGUUUGCUAUAGGACUGCUGCAGAGAUGCGCCGUAGCUUUAGUGAAGAUGAUGAAACAGAAGAAACGAGUUCCUUUGAGGAUUAAAAGAUUUGAUAUUGACUGAAGGAAAGUAACAGGUCCAUUAGUUAGGGAUAUUUGUUGGAUUUCUGCGUCGAUAGGACUCCUUUGGAUUUGUACAGUUCAAAAGCAACUUAAAUUCGCUCGCCUGUAUUCCAUCAUGUGAAGAGAUCCUUCAGGGCUUGUAUAGUUCAAAAGAUUUGUAUCCCAUUUUGUAGCUUGAUGCUGAAAUAGGAAUACUAUGAGUAAUAUAUAUUGUCAAUUGUCAUUUUGUUUUGAAGUAAGGUACUUCCUUUAUAUAGAAGAGGAGACCAUUUCUCUAUUUGUGCGUGUCAUCCUUGAACAGAGGCCAUGCCUACUUAAUCUAUAUCGUUCCGAUCUUAUCGGAAACCUCCCUGCAGUUACUGCUACAGUAGCUUGAUGAUCCCUUGAAUUGGAUCUAAGUAAAUGCAGCACUAUCAUUUCAUUGAAGACUCUGUAUCCUCAACUUUUUUUUGGGUCAUAUUCGUAGUAGUGCUGCGGAAAUUGCCUCUUGCAAAUAUGCAGCGUAAAGUUGUAAAUUAGGAAUAUUUACAAAGCAGGAAUUAAAUUUGGGUGUAAUUGUACAAUUUGAUAUAUUUAUCUAGUCAAGUAAUUGGGUGUAAUUAAAGGGGUCAAAUUAUAUUAUUCAAUUCUCAAGUGGAUGUAUGAACUGGUGGUAGUAAUUACAAGCUAAUGUAACUCUUAAAGAAAUUAUUUUCAUUUUUCAAAUAUAUUAAGUACUGCUAUUAUUUUAAAAUUAUUUCUCUUCCAAUUCUCUUAUCCUCCCUUUUCAACCUUACAAUGUGUUGAUUAUGGUGUGUUUCCAUAUAAUUUUGUAACUUCUCAUAUUUUGCUUCUUUUUUUUCUUUUUUUCUUAGUCGUUAAACACAAUUUUGUAGUUUACUAGCUUUAUUUUCUAUCAUUAGUAUAAAUAAUUUAUAAGAAAAAUACCUUCAAAAUUCAUAACUAUUUUUUUAAUUUAAAAAUACAAUAAAUUAUAAAUUUCAUAUUGUAUUCAUAUGAGUUUGUAGAAAAAGUUAAAUUCAUAAUUGAAGAUUUUAUAAUUGUUUUAAAUCAAGACAUUAAUUAUUUGAAAGAAGUCAAGUUAAGUAAUUUAAGAUACCAAUUAUUUUUUAUGAUAUUAUUUAUUAAUUUAUAAUUAUUUAACAUAUUUUUACGGCAAAAUAUUUGUUCUAAAUACCUCUUAGUUAAUUACUUUUUUGAUAUUUAUGAUUCACAUACAUGCCAUAUCAUAAAAUUUAUCCACAUGUUAAUUUGAAUUUUUUGUAUUUAACUAUGAAAUUACACUUGUCCGAUCAAACAUAACAGUAAAAAUUACAUUAUAAUUACAUUGUGGCAAACAAACAGAUCAUUGUAAUUAUUAUAUUGUGUAAUUACCAGAGUGUGCAAUUAUUACCCUAAUAAUUGAAACGGUCAGAUAAUUACACAUGGCUUUCCAAACAGGACCCUUAGUGUAAUUUCUCACCAUUUUUAUAAUUUAAUCUAUUUUUAGAUGCUAUUAUCUCUUAAGCUGUUAAAAAUUAAAAAUCGUGGGACUUAUGCUUGCAUCAGGCAUUUAAUCUAAUCCAAGAUGGCAUCAGGCAUCUAUUCUAGGUAAUAAAAAAAAAAAAAAAAAGGACAAUAGAUUUUUUGGACUAUUUAUAAGUUAUCCGAGUAUUAUUUUUAAUACCGGAAUAACUUAUUCCAAAUUUAAUAACCAAAUAAUGUAUAAGGUGGUAUUAAAUUUUCAUCCCAACACUAUUUUUUAUUUAUCCCUCUUACCAAACGACCCCUUAUGGUCAUUUUAGUAUCUUUGCUCUAUGCUAUUCCAUUAUAUUUGGACUAAAGGCCUCCUUUCCAGGUGCUUUUGUACACGUGGAUUUUUUACUAUACCCAGACCUACCUUAUACAAUACUAAUUUUGAAGGUAUUUUUCUUAUAAAUUAUUUUUACUAAUGAUAGAAAAUAAUGCUAGUAAACUACGAAAUUGUGUUUAACGACUAAGAAAAAAAAUAUACGAGAAGUUACAAAAUUAUAUGGAAGCACACCGUAAUGAACACAUUAAACUGUUGAAAAGGGAGGAUUAAAGAAAAUGAAAGAGAAAUAGUUUAAAAAUAAUAGUACUUAAUAUAUUUGAAAAAAAGAAAAUAAUUUUUUUUAAAGUUACAUUAGCUUGUAAUUACUACCAGCAAUUCACACACCCCUUGAGAAUUGAAUAAUAUAAUUUUACCCCUUUAAUUAUACCCAAUUACUUGACUAGAUAAAUAUAUCAAAUUGUAUAAUUACAUCCAAAUUUAAUGAAUGAAUUACAAAAAAAUACACGUGACUUCACACCAUAACAAAAAAUGACCCAUGUUUUUAAGUUUUACUCGACCUAGCCCGUAUUAUACAUAUUUUGAAAGCACUAACAAAUUCAAAAUAUGUGUUCUUACAACCAUUGCUUCUAAAAGCUAUGGAGUUAAAUAUGUGUUCUCACAACCAUUGCUUUCAGUCUCUCUUCUUCUCACAUCUUCUACAUAUGCUUCAAGGGGCCGUGUAUUUUCUGCUACCCCCUCUAUGUUACCUGGCUGCAAUAUAAGAAAAUUGAAGAGUAGAAGUCCACCAUUGAAGACCAUUCAAAGCUUUGCUUUCGAAAAUAGAAUUUUUUGAGUUUGUUAAUUAUUUGGAUUGGGUGUUGUUCCAAUUGAUUGAAAAUAUUAAAAUGAGUUCAAAAUUUAAAUUUGAAGUGAUUUGGAGUAGAUUUGAGUUCAAUUUCAGAAAAGACGCAAAGAAGAAGACGAAGUUAGUCUUUUAUAUAAUUAUGUAUAAUCUUAUAUAAUAGUGUAUAUGAGUGUAUAAACACAUCUUNNNNNNNNNNNNNNNNNNNNNNUUAUACUAUUUCUAACAAAUCUAAAUAACACCCACUCUAAAUUUCUCACAAAAUCAAAUUCGAAAUUUAAAUCCACAUAUUAAACUUGUUAAAAAUCUAAUUUUUACCACCUAAAUGGAUUUGGCUUGUUGAACUAAUAUUUGAGUUACAGUUACUGAUUCGAAAAUUAACUUAAAAGUUUGAGCAAUUUUUUAAAAAAUUAAAUAGUAAUUUCGAGAACUUAUUGGAGUUGUACAUUUGAAUCUUAGUCUAUUAUUUUUGGGCUAGUUGGUUGUAAAUUGAAAUGUGAGCUAUAAAAUUGAAAAGUAAGGAAUCAGUUGUUCUUAUAUGAAAUUUUCCCAAAUUUAAUUCCUACUUUGCAAAUAUUCCUAAUUCUCUACUCCUUCACUCCAGCCUCCAAGUCUAGAGCGACCGAACCGGAGUCCACAAUCCAAACUUAAUCAGGUAGCUCUAUUCCCAUUGUUGUUUGCAAUUUUACACAUAUAUCGCAAACAUAAACUUGUAUUUGCUUCGUAGCUUUCGCUAAGUGACAUAUUCUUUGAACAAAUUAGUUAUUAUCAUUGGAUAAAUUUGAUUUAUCGAUGUGCUUUUGUUUCAGCAGAAUUUCACAGAAAUUGCAAGCAAAAUGAAAACUUAGGUUAGGCAGUAAUGUUUUGAUUUUUCAUUUUAGGCCGGAUGACCUGUUGAUUUAACCGAUAACCGACCGAUAACCGCUAAACCGAUACCGAACCAACCGAACAACAUACCCAGUUUAUUCCCACAAGUGGGGAGGGUAGUAUGUAGUCAGUCCUUACCCCUACCUUGUGAAGCAGUUGGCUAGUGGAGUAGUAUCAAUCGAACCAUUAAGCGCAAAUAUCCAACCGAUCUUCCCUAUAAGCAGCCCUAGUAGAAAGCACAAGUUGAAUUCUAGUUAUGAAUUAGGUAACAAGUUAAAUAUGUUCACAAAUAUUUAACUUUCGUUAACUUUAAGGAUCAAAACCAGACUUUUGAACUAAUUAAAGGUUAUAAGUGCUUAGUCAAAUAAAUUAGCGACCAAAAUUGAAAUUAAACAAUAACACAAGGAUUAAAAUUGCUAUUUCCCCGAUUUAAAUCUGCCUUCUAGGUGGUUUUGGAUUUGUUCUAAUGAUUUGUUUGGUUUGUCAUAGAUAGAAUAUGAUGUACUGGAAAGUGCAGCUGAUGACACAAUCAUAUUUCUCUAUGAUAUGGAUGAUAUUCUCUGGAUUUAUCCAAAAUUGUUAAAUCUCUUAUGUAGUGGGUAAAAAAUUCAUACCCCUUAUUGGAAUGUAACUUGAAUUAAUUUUUAACCAAAACUCUAAUAACUGUGAACUAUUUUGGUGUCUAUAUAUGUGUUUAUUUUAUGCUUAAUUUGUUAGACUAGAACUUUAAGACCAUGUUUUUUUUUUAAAUCUGAUCUUAUUCAAAUGUUAUUCAUUUUGUCACAUGCCUAUUCGAACAGAUAAACAAAUGAUUAUAUGUAAUGCAUGAGAAUGUCAGUGAAAUCAUACAGCAUAUCCACUUAACAAUUUUUGCUCCAAGUCUUCGUCAAGAUAAACAAGGCAGAUUCUAUCAUAAGUCGUUCCCGCCAAGAAAAAAUGUGCAGCACCAAUAAAUCCAUGAGAAAUUAGCUGCAAAUCUGUAUGCUAUUCCAAGUCUUUUUUAGGUUAGCAUACAAGUCAAUCUUAAGUAGUGUAAUAUUUUCAUCACGUAGUUUUCUGUGCACUAGUGCUAAUUAUAAUAUACUCGUAGGAUAGGAGAUUUGUUUUGCUCUGGGUAUUGAUAUUGUAUCCAAAUCUAAUGCAUUUUGUAAAUGAGAUCUGUCCUAAAAGGCUAAAACUAGAGUCAUCAGAGCUUGAAGCUAUUUUUAUUUACUGGUUUGGUAAGCCAAAAUGACUCCUAAUCUUUUGUUUUUAUCAACCCGUGGCAGGUUCACUCUAAUGGUUUCUGCGGAGCUAGUGGCGCUGAGUGCAUAAUAUCAGAACAAUUCGUUCCUUUAAGCAGUCCUGAUGAGUAAAGUAAGUUUUGUUUGACAUAUCGACAAUGAAUUUCAUAACCAUUUUGCGGCAACAGAGGAUCAUUAGUGCAAUUCAUCCAACAGUUGUUAUAUCUUUGUACAAACAAAGUAUUGAUUCAUGUCACAGUUUUUGCUCAAAAGUAUCCGAUGCAAAUGAGAACUCAAAAUCAAAAAGAGAAGAAAGGUUGGUAGAUCAGGGAAUGUUGGCAACAAGGAACAGCUUAAGUCAAAGAAUUGAAAGUGUACCCAAAGGAGAGUACAUCGGAUCCGCUUUCCAAAGCUGGAUGGGUGAUGGUCUACCUAUUCAUAGAGGUGAUAUUUUCCAUACUAUCAAUCGUUUGCGCAAGCUCAAAUUCAUCAAGCGCGGUCUUGAGGUUCUUUUACUCUGCCCCCUCUUGCCAAAUCUGAACACGGGCAUUUUACCUAUUAUGAAUUACGUGAAAUAUUCAACCUACUGAGAAAAUCACUACAGUGCACUUACUCGAUGUGCUUGUUUGAGAAAUCUAAGUCUAAGGGGUAAUAGUAGUGAUGUUAUUACGGAAAGAGGAAAACUUUGUCUUGCACAGUUCUGUCACAUGUUUCAGGUAAGCUGCUGCAGAGUGGUGUGUUCCAUAGUGAGCUACCCUGGCAUUUUCAUGACUGAAUUUGCUCUAUACUGUUGUUGAGCUCAUUCUCAAGUCUUACUUAUCAUAAUGUCAAAUCAAGCUCGUUUGUAGUUGCUAUUGACAAUCUUUGAGGUUCUUAAUCUGACUGUAUUCACUUGCAUUUGAUUGUUAGAUUCAGUUAUUAAUUAAAUAAAUAGAAUUUGAUGCUAACAAUUAAAAAAAAGGAUACAAUUUGGUGCUCAGUUGGAACUUCAAACGAAAUCAUAUUGAUAUUGAGCGGUAUGCUUAAUCUUCUGCGGUUUACUUUUCUCAGGUGAUGGAAUGGGUUAUAAGGGAGAGACCUUACAGACCAAAGGAACUAGAUUACUCAUAUUUACUAGAAUUCACUUCUAAGCUUCAUGGGAUAUCACAAGCUGAAAGCCUUUUCUCACGAAUACCAUCUGAGUUCCAAAAUGAGUUGCUCUACAACAAUCUUAUACUUGGGUGCUUGAACAGAGGCCUAAUAAGGCUUUCACUAGCAUAUAUGAAGAAAAUGAGAGAGCUGGGUCAUCCCAUAUCUUAUUUGGUGUUCAACCAUCUCAUUAUUCUCCACUCCUCCCCAAGCCGCAAGAAGUCCAUACCUAAAAUCCUGACGCAGAUGAAAGCCGAUAAGGUCAUUCCACAUGCCUCGACCUUUAAUAUUCUGCUCAAGAUAGAAGCAAAUGAACACAAUAUUGAACGCCUGUUAAAAGUAUUCGGUGACAUGAAUAGAGCAAAAGUUGAACCGAAUGAGGUAUCAUACUGCAUAUUGGCCACUGCACAUGCUGUGGCUAGGUUAUAUACAGUUUGUGAGACCUAUGUUGAAGCUCUUGAGAAGUCUGCAACUGGACGAAACUGGUCUACAUUGGACAUUCUUAUCAUACUUUAUGGGUAUUUGGGGAAGCGGAAUGAUUUGGAGAGGAUAUGGGGCAUCAUUAUGGAGCUGUCCCAUGUCAGGUCUAAGAGUUAUGUCCUGGCGAUCGAAGCAUUUGGUAGGAUCGGAGAUAUCUGUCGUGCUGAAGAGCUAUGGUCCGAAAUGAAAUCAAGGAAUUCUUUGAAGUCAAACGAGCAGUUCAAUUCUUUGAUAGCUGUAUACUGCAGACAUGGACUUAUCACCAAAGCCACUGCAUUGUAUAAGGAGAUGGAGAAAAGUGGGUGCAAGCCAAAUGCCAUUACUUAUCGGCAUCUUGCUCUUGGUUGCUUGACAGCGGGGUUAAUUAAGGAGGCUAUUAAAACUCUUCAACUGGGGAUGGAUAUGACAGCAAGCAUAAAGGUCAAAAGAUCAACUCCAUGGUUGGAGACUACUCUUUCAAUAAUCGAAAUAUUUGCAGAUAAUGGUGACGUAGAGAAUGCUGAAAAGGUGUUUAAAGAACUGAAGAAAGCAAAUUAUACUAGGUAUACCUUUGUGUACAAUACGUUAAUUAAGGCGUAUGUUAAGGGGAAGGUAUAUGAUCCAAAUCUACUUAAAAGAAUGAUUCUUGGAGGGGCGAGGCCAGAUUCUGAAACCUAUAGCCUUUUAAAAGUUGUUGACCAAUUUCGGAUGUGAUUAUAUUAGAAUUAUUUUAUAUGCUUUUAUACUGGUGGUUCAAGAACUCAGCUAAGAGUAAGCCUAUUUUUCCAUUUGCUGAAGAUAACCAUACUUAACGUGCCCCUUUUGUUCGAGUCUUGGAGAGAUGGUGGCAGGUUAGACAAGUUACACUAUAUUACAUAGAUACUUGGAGAGAUGGUUGUACAUCGUCCUAUGGAUGAAGUUCCUGAGCAUCAAGAGUACUUGAGGAGAGCACCUAUGAUAGGAAUGCCACUGCAGACAAAUCAUCGGAUAAGGUUAGACCAACUUAAAGAACUUGAUCUUACACCACUUAGUAUGCAUGAAUCUGCAUAUGUAUUUUUAACAUGUUUAUUUAAUAGGAUUUUUGGAAUAUAACUCCAUUGUGAGAUGAUCAUGUUAUUAGAUGUCAUAAUUUGCCCUUUGAAUGCAUUCUCUUAUCCAAUUUCAAAUAUAAAAUGGCAAUUUGAAGUACAGAAGAAUAAUGGCUGUGUCUCAUGCCAUCUUUUAACUGAUUUAAGACCUUUAUUUGCUUAUCUCGGUCCGUCUCUAGAAGUUUGAUUCAUUAACAAAGUGCAGGCUAAUCUUUUUGUAGUACCAUGUGCAUUUAUCUUCUUGGUAGUUACUAUGUUGUGAUGUUAUCUUACUGAGACUUUCUACCUGCUAUGACCAAUUAUAAAAGCAAGAUGUUAUGUACUAUUUUGCAAGAAAAAACUAAAGAUUUUAAAAAUUCCAUGGUUAGCGUCGUCUUAUUAAGCAGUCAUAAUGUUUUUUUUUUUGCAAGCAAAACCAAAGAUUUUGAAAAAUUCUUUAUGUUAGCAAUUACUCCGUUUGUAUUUGCUAUAUAUAGGACUGCUGCUGAGAUGCUGCGUAGCUUUAGUAAAGAUGAAGAAACAAGUUCUUUUGAGAGUUAAAAGAUUUGCUUUUGACAGAAGAAAAAUAGCAGGUCCAUUAGUUUUUAAGAUAUUUGUUGGAUCUCAGUGUCGAUGGUACUCUUUCUGAUUCGUACAGUUCAAAGCAACUUGAAUUCACUCGUCUUUACUCCAGCAUUUGAAGAGAUUCUUCAGGACUUGUAUAGUUCAAAAUAUUUGUAUCCAAUUUUGUAGCUUGAUGCUGAAAUAGGAAUACUGUGCGUAAUCUUUAUUGUCAUUCAGCUUAAAGUAAGGUACUUCCACUGUACAAAAGAGGAGACCAUCUCUCUAUUUGUGUCAUCCUUGCGCAGGGGCAAGCUUAUCUACUAUGUAUCGUUCCAGUUUUAUCAGAUGUUUCGGAAAGACUUAUGCAAAAGAGGAGGGUUUACCAAAAUAAACCUCCCUUGCUGCUGCAAUAGCUUGAUGAUCUCUUCAAUUGAAUCUAAGUAAAUGCAUCACUCUCAUUUCAGUGAAGACUGUGCCCUCUGAAGGGCAGAUGUGGAUAUGAACCAAUAAACAAUAGCAACAUGGCAAUUUUAAAUAGGAAUUUGUUUCUCUUCAUAGAAUCUAAAUCCUAUUUGUAUGAUUGAUUGUUAAAAGUCUUUUUAUAUUCAUAGUAGUGUGUAUGUUUGGAUAUAGUAGGAAUUCUGUGUAUAAAAGCACCAGGGAGGCCCUGGGCCCUAGUCCAAAUAUAAUAGCUUACAGGAGUUGCAAGAGUGAAGAUACUAAAGUGAUAUGACAUUUCUGGUCACCUUUUCUCUUUUUUAGGACUCUCAAUUACAGAGGUAUGAUAAUAGAAAAUUAAUGACAGUAUAAGUUGUCAGAAGCUAAGUGGCAAAACUAGUUAUUGCCUGUGUUGGCACUGAAUCCAAAAAAUGUGUUGUUGUUUUUAAGAUUUUUCUUACCUAGACUUGAUGCCUGAUGCCAUCUAGCAAGGUUAAGUUACUAUUGCCAGAUCCAUAAUUUUAUAUAUUUAUAAGGCCUUUGAAUGUUUGACAGCAAUUAGAACAAAGACAAGAUGAAACUUAUUCACUCGAAAUGAUUUUUUUUUAGUAAGUUAAUCACUUCGCUUCUUAUAAUUGGCUAUUGUGUUUUAAAAAGUUAAAGUGUAAGGUGAGACGUUUUACUUAUCCUUAUUGCAAAAUGAAGUAUGAGUCUCAUGGGUUACAUAAAUCCUAAUAUGUCACAAUUUUUAACUUUUAUGCUGAAUGACUUUACAAACCCCUAAAUUUUUCCAGAUGGUUAUUAAUUUGCGAGUUUUCCAUUUAAGCACUUUUACUUGAAGAGGUAACCGUCAAAAAACCCACUGAGCGUGUCUUUUUUUGAUAGCUAUGUUUAGACAAUGAAUAUCUCUCAAGAAUAAAUAACUUAUUUCUUCAUACACCGGGCUUCUUGCAUCACGGGUUCAAGUCAUAGAAUUAUAUGUUCGAGUUGUGGAAUCAGUCAUUAAUGCUUGUAUCAGGGUAAACUACCUACAUUACACCUCUUGGGGUGCAUCCCUUCCUCCGACCCACGUGAACACGUAAUACUUCGUGCAUCAAAUUGCUAUUUAUCAAGGAUCGUCACAUGACAAAGCGUGUCUCUUUUUGAUAGCUAUAUUUAGACAAUAAAUAUCUCUCAAGAAUAAAUAAUUUCUUCCGCCGUUCACCGGGCUACCUACAUCAAGGGUUGGAGCCGUGGAGUUACGGGUUCUAAUUGUGAAAUUAGCCACUGAUACUUGUAUCAAGAUAGACUGGUUACAUUAUAUUCUUAGGAUAUGACCCUUCCUCGAACCCGCAUGAACACAAAGUGGAGAGUACUUUGCUUGAAGAUCUUUUCAUCUUUGCAUGUGGCAAAUGGUUGUUGACUUUAUAAUUGAUGAGCACAUUACCCAAACAUAAUUUUGUAAAAAGGAACUAGGGGACCAUUUUAAUUUGCAUAAUUCUCCCUUGUGGAUCCUUCUAUCUUUUCCUUUUUUUCUAAAAAAAAGUGCAUAAAACUUAUGGUGAUAGUUAUUGUCAAUGUGUUGGAAAGACAAGUGUUCUUGUCAAGGGUAUUUUUGGUACAUCUCCAUUAUAUUUCUGACUUGUUUAUUUAAUUUAAUAAUUUUUUUUUGGUCCACAUUUUUAUAGAUUUGGAAAAAGUUUUAGUAAGAAAUAUAUUGGAAGAAUUGUAAUGUUUUAGGUAUAAUUCUAUUUGAAGAUAGGGUUGUCUGUAAAUGUAAAACUAUACUCCUAAUACUUUUUAAGUUAAUUUGAAAUUUGAAACUAGAUAAAAGAAUUAUUUUUCUGUGAAGUCUAAUACACUUUGUGUUUAAUCUUCUCUCCCUCAUGUGACAGACUAAUUUAAAUAAGUCAAUUGACGCUACUGAUUAUUUAUCUUUUCAAAUAUUCUAUAAUUUUUUCUUCAAAAUAUUAACUCUAAUCCCAUUAGUGUUUAUCAAAAUAUUAAUUUUUACAUUAUAGAAGCUAAACUCUUUCAAAUAAGCGUGGAGUGACCUCUCAAGAAUUAAUCUUUCUAAUUAACCUAAAACAUUUAUGAACCCUAAUAAAUGGUCCAGUAUUUUUAUUUUUAUUUUUUGUGAUAAAUGCUGCAAUUUUUAUGGUUAUUAAAAUUUUUAAGUGUUUGUAACGGCUAACAAUAUGAUAUCUUUUUUAAAACCAUCAAGGUGACAGGUAGCUUGGAUUUUAUUAAUUAAACAAGAAAAAUGAAAAUUAAACUUAUAAUAUAAAGAAAUAAUCUAUGAGUAACUUUGAAUUUAUAAAUUAUCUGUAGUUAAUAAUUAACUACUAAGGAUUAUGGUUGGUUGAAUAGGAUCCCUCGCUCAAACUGAAAAAAUUUCAGUUGGAACGUUUUUCCCCUUUGAUAGAAUACGUAGCGCAACCCCGAAUUAGUCGAGACAUCAAAACAAAUAUUCGAAAAUUUUGAUUAUGUAUAGGAGAAUCAGAAUGUUUUUUCAACUUUGGAAUUUUGGAAUGGAAUUUUUCUCUUGGAGAGAAUUUGGACAGAAUUCGAACCAUAUGCUUUGAAUGUAGGAAAUGAAAGGAAAAAGGAAGAGAUGUAUAAAAGGUGAAAAUAUGAGUGAAAAUGGGGGAAAGAAUUAUUGGACUCAUGAAUCAUGACAAUAUUACUUUUGAUUUGGGAGUCAAAUUUUUGUUCAAUAUAAUCUUUUAAUAUUUAAAAAUAUAUCUUUACGAGAAAAAGAUGAUUUUAUCAAAAGAAUGAUUUGUAAUGCUAUUUAUGUGAUUUCUAAAUAUAGAUUUAAAAUAUGUUUAGAGAUUUCAUUAGUAUCACAAGUUCACAACUUCCACUCUUACUUACCAUGGUGAACUACAAAUCAAAGAAUAUUAAAUUAAAAAAAUUAUCUUAUUUUUUCAUUUUUUUUUACUUUUCAUAUGUAUUUCCUUUCUUCCUUUCCAAAUACAAAAUAGGAUCACAAUAUACUUAUAAUUUUACUUACCAUAUUUCUGGUAAGAUGAUAAAUAUCUCCCUCUCCGUAAUUUGAGCUUUCGAGUUUAAAUGCAAUAUUCUUUUGGAGGAAGUGUCUUAAUCUCAAAUGAAAUUUCCUUGACAUAAAUUCGAAUACGCUUAAACUUCAAAAGAAAAAAAGAAGAAGAAGAAAUUACUUAAAAUAAAGAAUAAUUAAUAAGAAAUGAGUCAAAUGUAACAAUUACAAUCUAGUACUUAUAUGAUUUUUCUUUUUAAGAAAUGUACACUUUUGACUCAAUACUGAAGAUAUGCAAAACGUAUAUGUGAAUUGCUAUUUAAAGAAAUACUGAAGAUAUGUAAAACGUAUAUGUGAAUUGCGAUUUAAGAAUAAAGCAUACGAAAAACAGACCGAAGUAGUUAAUUCUUACAAACCAUAUGAUGUGUCAAAUGAACUUUUUUAUUCUAUACCUCACACAACUAAUAUAAAUUGUGUGAGGUUAUGGUGCUUUUUCAAAAAUAAAUAACUUGUAUUUCUUUGUCAUGUUGUGAUUAUGUUUUCUUUGAGCCUAGAGUCUUUCAAAAAUAAUUUUUCUGUCUUCACAAGGUAGAGAUAUUUUAUCCUUCGGGACGACCCAAUUGGUAUGGAGGGAGUUAUUCAUAGUGAUGACCUGUGAUCGAUCCAUUCUCAAUGACUUCUGGGUCUGAGUCUGUUGCACAGAGCUUGCCUAGUGUAAUUUAUAUCCCCUGUGUGAUUUGCAGGCUAUUACACAGUGGGAGAUUUACCCAGUGCGCACAGAGUGCUCACCCGAAGGGUAGAGGUUGUGGCAGAGGCUGUAGCGGCAACGAGUUUUCCUGGGGUUCCAAAGAAAAAAAGGUAGGGAUAUUUGCAUACACGCUAUCUUUCUCAGACCCCACUUGUGAGAUUGCAUCGGAUAUAUUAUUAUUAUUGUUGUUGUAAAAAUAAAUAACUGGAGAAGGCAAGAGAAGUGGAAGGACUAUGAGGCAGGGCCCACAAAAAUCCAGAUGUCAAAGGUACAAUGGCCUUACACAACCAAGGUUAGUUAUGUAAUACAUAGAAUAAAUUCAGAUAAACAGAUCGCCUACGGUUCCAGCGACCUACAAGUUUCAUUUAAAAAACAACAACUUUUAAUUAAUAGGAGUAACUGCUAUUUCCUCAAUUUAAAGAAAGUAAAAUUAAUAUUAAUAUUAUAUUCCAUUCUCCUCAGUCCACCUUUCUUCUCUCUCUCUCUCUCUCUCUCUCUCUCAUCAGUCAUCUUCUGUAGCACUUUUGUGUGUGCGUGUUUUUGCUGCUUCUCUGCACCCAUUGCCCAAAACAAAAACAAAAAAUCAGAUCAAACCUUAGAUUCUGUUGCUUCACUUUUAUCAGCUGAUCUCUCUCUCUCUCUCAAAUUCACAAGCAGUGACGUUUAUUUUCUUACUAUAAAACUCUCAUUUUCAAUCGUUUUCACAGUUUCAGCUUUCUGGGUCUUGCUAAUUUUAGCUAUUUUUUAAUACCCACUUCAGUUCUUGAAUUUUUACUUCACACCCAAAAAAAGUUUCACUCUUUUUUUUUUUAGUAGUUGCAAAUUGCAAUUUUUGGGGGGCUAUAUAGGAUCAUUGUAAUCAGUAAUUUUUCACUUUUUUUUUUCUAGGGCAUUUGGUGAAUUUUGAAUAGAACUUGUAUUCAAUGUGAUUGGAAUUGAAAAUUUUAUUUUAAAUGAAUGCGAGGGGUUUAGAGAUUUUAGGGCUAGUUUUGGAAGUGGCAGAUUUUGGUGUCAAUUGAUAGAAUGAAUUCAGAUGCCAACAGAGCUAGUGGACAAGUUGAAAGGGAUAUUGAGCAGGUACAAAUUUAAUAUACUGUAUUUUUUUAAAUUUUUUUAAAUUUUUAUAUACUGUAGUAAACCUGCACUUUUUAAUAUUGUUUAAACAAUUAAAGUUUUAUUGAGUAUUACGGUUUUUGUUAAUUGUGUAUUUUAUUACUGAUAAGCUGAGUCCAACUAGAAGGAAUCCUAGAAUUACGUCUGUUUUUUGGUUUUGAUUGAGGCGUAGUUGAUUGAAUUGUAUAGAUACUGAAGUUUGUUGAGUAUUGUUGCUUUUGCCGAUUCUAUUUUUUUUAGAUAAGCUGACCCUAACUAGUUUGAGAUAGAGGCGUUAGGCGCAGUCAAUUCAAUUGUAUUUUGUUACUAUAAGCUAAGGCCAGCUAGUUUGGGAUUGAGGCAUAGCUGAUUGAAUUAUAUUUUAUUAUUGAUUAGCUGACCAGCUGGUUUAAGAUUGAGGAGUAGUUGAUUGAAAUGUAUUUAGUUAUUGAAAAGUCGGCUCCAACUAGUUUGGAAUGGAAGCGCAGUUGAUUGAAUUGUAUUUGGUUAUUGAUAAGAAUCCUUAUUAGUUCGGGAUAGAAGCAUAGUUUGAUUUUAUUGUAUUUCAUUAUCGGUAAUCUCUGGAAACUUGUCGAAUGCCCUAUUAUUUUUAAUAUAUGUGACUACUUCUUUUUUUACUUAUGAGAAUGCGGCAAUACUUUCUCCACUUCUCAUUUUCUUUUUUCGUGGUUUCGUAAUUUAGUGUUAAAAAUAUUUGUUGGCAUUCUGUGGUGAGAAUUCGUAAUCAACUUCCUCUUUAUGGUGUUAUGCAAGAUGAAUCGUAAAAGAAAGCAUGUUUAAUUGAGACACAAUAAUUUUAUAAUCAUUUUAUACAUAGAAUAGAAAUGGCAAGUAAGGUAAUAAUACUAGGAUAUCAUGUUUUAGAAAGAAUUAGCAAUUGGCAUGUCAUAAGAUUGUGUGAAUAUUGUUGCUGCUGUUGAAGUGCCAAGUAAUAUAAAGCGUUGAUUUUGGUAGCAAGAGCAAUGAAGUCCAAUUUAAGUAAUUUCAGUUACCACCUAAAUAUAACUACUUCUGAAAAUUGGGCUAUUAGUGUUGCUCGUUCAUUGUUUAUUUAUUAGGUUCAAAAUCUCUCGACUUUUUAAACUUCUUUUCAGCUUCUAUUUCUUCUUAUGAUUUACAUCAGGCGAUAACUGCUCUAAAGAAGGGUGCAUACUUACUCAAGUAUGGAAGAAGGGGGAAGCCAAAGUUUUGUCCCUUUCGGUUGUCAAACGUAAGUAUCAGUUCAUGUUUCUUUAUCCUGUGUAAAUUACUUUGUAUUCUUACCCCAAUUUUUUCUUUGUCAUCUAUGAAUAUUCUCGUAAGAUAUCAUUUGUACUAGUCAAAAUAAAAAUAAAAAAUAUUUCUGUCUUUAUUGUUGAGUGUAGCAUGAGGUUAAGAUGCAAUUUACUCUUUUUUUCCCAAUCAUGUAGUUUAAUAUCUAUGCUGGUCUUUGCUUUUGUCAAUUAUGCUACAAAACCGUGAUAUUCGACGCUUGACGUGUAACUCCUUUAUUCUAUAAUUUAUGGGGUAAGAAUAAGAACUUCUAGAGUCUAUCAAGCAGCAGCUAGUAGUCUACCGGGUUCAUUUUUUGAUUGCCUUAAAAAAUCAAAUAAAUUAAUCUGUCUGGUUCUGCAGGAGAUGUUUGAUAUUUGCCUAAUUUUUGAGUUAAGGUGCUUGACGUGACCCUUGUUUGUAUAAUGCCCCAGUGUAAAAUUGGAUUAAGGAAGGGCAAGAGAAGGGGUUUAGUAUCGUGUAAUAGUAUAAGCAGUAAUAGAGAGAAUAUUCCUAUAAAAGGGGUUAGCAAACUAUGCAUUUCCUAUUGUAAUUUCCCUCUACAUUCUCCGGUUGAUUUUACAGCUGCUCUGAAGUUUGUGGAAUCUUCAGUUUUGUGUCUUACUGUACAUCGGUUAUCCAAAAUGUGUGUUGCAGCCUAUCUACUUGAGAAACCCUUUUCUGAUCCGAAUUACCUAAUGUUCACUUCACACAUGCUUACUGUAUCAGUUCCUUUGCCUUUCUAUUUAGAAUUAAUGUACGUGCGUGUGUGGUGUGUCCAUCUGAGUUUUGUAUUUAAGAUAGGAGGAUCAUCAUUCAAACGAUAGCAAUACUACAUGACAUAAGGAAAAUGUGCUUUAUCAAGCAUGAAAAGUAAGCAUCAGUUAGUCCAGGCUCCUUAAUCUUUCUGCUACUAUGAAAGCAAUACGUGAUAUCUGAACUGCCUCACACCAAAGAGAAGCAAAAGUAGCAUUUAAUCUAUGCAGAAUAAUAUUUAAAGUUGAGUUACAAGCGAAAUGCAGCAAAAGUUGGUAAUCGUAUUGUCUUCCGAAGUCCUAUCCUGUCAUGUUAUCCAACACCAAAACUUAGAAAUCAUUCAUUUAUGCUGAAACAAAAUGGAUAAUUUCCAUAAACACAUACACCUAGAGUGGUUCUUUAUUCAGGUAUGCUGUUUUUCUCAUACCUGAAAGAGAAUCAACCAUUUUUUAGAACGGUACUUUUUACUGUUUAAGGGUGCAGCAUGUAGUUCAAUGUCAUGGAAUCCAUUUAUUCUUUGUUUCCUUCUUCUGAGCUGUCCCAAUAGUUGAGCUUCAGUCUCUUGUUGAGGUUUAACGCUUGAUGCUGGCCAUUUCUGUGUCUGUCUUUGCUGAUGACUUUGGUUGUAACAAAAACUGUGUUUUCAUAAGAAGAGUUCUUUCAUGCUGCACAGAUUGUUUGUCUAUACCUUUACUAGAAAUUGGAUUUGCUGUUGUAUCUCAGUUAAACGGAAUUUUCUUCCCUUUAUUAAGUUGAAGUUUGGACUUUACCUAUCAAAAGAAGUUCUAUAAAAAUAAAAUUAGUCUGAAGUCUGGACUACUUUGUGUCCUUUGAAAUCUAGCUCUAAUUGAGAAUUAAUGCUUUAGUAUCUAAAAAUUAAUUCUGACUGUGGUUGCAGGAUGAGUCUGCUUUAAUAUGGUUUUCAGGUAAAGAGGAGAAACACCUGAAGCUAAGUCAUGUGUCAAGAAUAAUAUCUGGGCAGCGCACUGUAAGUUCUCCUCAUGGUGAAAAGCCUGGUUCUGUCCUGAAACUUUUUUGAUUGGUAUCUCCGUAAUACAAAUGAAUCCGUCUGUGUAUCUUUUUGUGUGGUAUCAAUACUUGUGAUUGAAGAGUCUAUACACUAGAAGGGGAACUUAAGUGAUAUCUGAUGAAGUCACAGAGAACCUUAACACUGUUUGUGAAUAGUUAUGAACUUGCUAGAAGUUUUGGCUCUAGGCACGCUUCUCCUGGCAUAAUACUUUGUCUUCUGUUCGAUGUGAUAAUGUACUUUUUGUUAUUAAAAAAAACUUGAGAGUAGAUGAAAGAUGAGGAAAAAGUAGAUGGGUGGAGAAUGAAUAGGACCAAGGUCCAAACACUGCUAAAAGAAGGUUGCUCAAUCCAUAGUUGAUUUGAUUAAUUGUGCUGUAUGAAUCUGUCAGUUUUUGUCUUUCUUGCCUUCUCCCACACAUACACACACACAUCUCUCGCUAUAACUGUCAACCAUAACAAGGCAAACGUUCUCGUUAGUAUUCACUGAUCUGAAUUAAUGCUCUAUUCCAGCCAAUUUUUCAAAGGUACCCACGACCUGAGAAGGAGUAUCAGUCAUUUUCACUUAUAUACAAUGAUAGAUCACUGGAUUUGGUAAGAGUUUCAUUAGUAACAGCUGUGUCUUUCAUUUAGAGAAAAAAAUUUAUUGUGAUUUUUGUUGCUUUGUAUUAUCCCGUGUUUGUCAGAUAUUGGUUCUUGCACCAAAUUCAUCACACCUUUGCUUGUCACUUUCUCUUUUUAGAUAUGUAAAGAUAAAGAUGAAGCGGAGGUUUGGUUUAGUGGUUUGAAGGCCUUAAUUUCUCGUGGGCACCAGAGAAAAUGGAGAAUAGAAUCAAGGAGCGAUGGAAUUUCUUCUGGUGCUACUAGUCCUCGAACAUAUACUCGAAGAAGCUCUCCUCUGCAUUCUCCAUUUAGUAGUGGUGACAGCUUGCAGAAGGUACUAUAGCAUCCACAUGUCUCCUUAUGCAUAUGCAGAUGAAAUGUAUCCUUAAAUUUUUCAUGUUUAUAUUUUGGUUUUAUUUCUCUCUCUGAGAUUUUGAAUGAGAUCCUAUAUGUCCUUCAGGAUGGUGGUGAUCAGCUUCGGCUUCAUAGUCCAUAUGAAAGCCCUCCUAAAAACGGUGUAGAUAAGGCGUUUUCUGAUGUAAUUCUGUAUGCCGUACCACCCAAAGGGUUUUUCCCUUCAGAUUCUGCUAGUGCUUCUGUUCAUUCCUUGUCUUCUGGAGGUUCAGAUAGCAUACAUGGUCAGAUGAAGGGAAUAGGGAUGGAUAAUUUUAGAGUAAGCCUUUCAAGUGCAGUUAGCUCAUCAAGUCAAGGUUCUGGUCAUGAUGAUGGUGAUGCUUUGGGGGAUGUUUUUAUAUGGGGAGAAGGCACUGGGGAUGGUGUCCUAGGUGGUGGACCUCAUAGAGUUGGCAGUUCUUUUGGUGCAAAACUAGAUUCUUUGUUUCCCAAAGCUUNNNNNNNNNNNNNNNNNNNNNNNNNNNNNNNNNNNNNNNNNNNNNNNNNNNNNNNNNNNNNNNNNNNNNNNNNNNNNNNNNNNNNNNNNNNNNNNNNNNNNNNNNNNNNNNNNNNNNNNNNNNNNNNNNNNNNNNNNNNNNNNNNNNNNNNNNNNNNNNNNNNNNNNNNNNNNNNNNNNNNNNNNNNNNNNNNNNNNNNNNNNNNNNNNNNNNNNNNNNNNNNNNNNNNNNNNNNNNNNNNNNNNNNNNNNNNNNNNNNNNNNNNNNNNNNNNNNNNNNNNNNNNNNNNNNNNNNNNNNNNNNNNNNNNNNNNNNNNNNNNNNNNNNNNNNNNNNNNNNNNNNNNNNNNNNNNNNNNNNNNNNNNNNNNNNNNNNNNNNNNNNNNNNNNNNNNNNNNNNNNNNNNNNNNNNNNNNNNNNNNNNNNNNNNNNNNNNNNNNNNNNNNNNNNNNNNNNNNNNNNNNNNNNNNNNNNNNNNNNNNNNNNNNNNNNNNNNNNNNNNNNNNNNNNNNNNNNNNNNNNNNNNNNNNNNNNNNNNNNNNNNNNNNNNNNNNNNNNNNNNNNNNNNNNNNNNNNNNNNNNNNNNNNNNNNNNNNNNNNNNNNNNNNNNNNNNNNNNNNNNNNNNNNNNNNNNNNNNNNNNNNNNNNNNNNNNNNNNNNNNNNNNNNNNNNNNNNNNNNNNNNNNNNNNNNNNNNNNNNNNNNNNNNNNNNNNNNNNNNNNNNNNNNNNNNNNNNNNNNNNNNNNNNNNNNNNNNNNNNNNNNNNNNNNNNNNNNNNNNNNNNNNNNNNNNNNNNNNNNNNNNNNNNNNNNNNNNNNNNNNNNNNNNNNNNNNNNNNNNNNNNNNNNNNNNNNNNNNNNNNNNNNNNNNNNNNNNNNNNNNNNNNNNNNNNNNNNNNNNNNNNNNNNNNNNNNNNNNNNNNNNNNNNNNNNNNNNNNNNNNNNNNNNNNNNNNNNNNNNNNNNNNNNNNNNNNNNNNNNNNNNNNNNNNNNNNNNNNNNNNNNNNNNNNNNNNNNNNNNNNNNNNNNNNNNNNNNNNNNNNNNNNNNNNNNNNNNNNNNNNNNNNNNNNNNNNNNNNNNNNNNNNNNNNNNNNNNNNNNNNNNNNNNNNNNNNNNNNNNNNNNNNNNNNNNNNNNNNNNNNNNNNNNNNNNNNNNNNNNNNNNNNNNNNNNNNNNNNNNNNNNNNNNNNNNNNNNNNNNNNNNNNNNNNNNNNNNNNNNNNNNNNNNNNNNNNNNNNNNNNNNNNNNNNNNNNNNNNNNNNNNNNNNNNNNNNNNNNNNNNNNNNNNNNNNNNNNNNNNNNNNNNNNNNNNNNNNNNNNNNNNNNNNNNNNNNNNNNNNNNNNNNNNNNNNNNNNNNNNNNNNNNNNNNNNNNNNNNNNNNNNNNNNNNNNNNNNAAAUCCCAAUAAACCCUAUCGUGUCUGUGACAAUUGCUUCAGUAAAUUGAAAAAAGCUAUUGAAACCGAUGCUUCUUCUCAGUCUUCUAUGAGUCGACGAGGAAGCACGCAUCAGGCGUCAACUGAUAUAACAGACAAGGACACUAAGUCAGAAACAAGGUCUCGGCCUCAACUCGCUAGAUUUUCUUCAAUGGAAUCCUUCAAACAUGUAGAAAACCGUUCUUCCAAACAGAAGAAAAAACUUGAAUUUAACAGCAGCCGUGUGUCACCUAUUCCAAAUGGUACCUCUCAAUGGGGAGCUCUCAACAUUUCCAAGUCUUUUAAUCCAGUAUUUGGCUCGUCCAAGAAAUUCUUUUCAGCUUCAGUUCCUGGAUCAAGAAUUGUUUCUCGAGCAACAUCACCAAUAUCUAGACGGCCAAGUCCACCUCGUUCUACUACGCCAACUCCAACAUUGGGUGGACUCACAUCUCCAAAGAUUGUUUUGGACGACGCUAAAAGGACAAACGAUGGCCUUAGCCAAGAGGUUAUCAAAUUAAGAGCACAGGUAUGUCAUUUGUAUUUGUGUAAGGAGCAGUCAUCUACUUGGGACGCAUUUUCCUCAGUUUGCUCCACAUAUUAUCCGUGGCUGAUGUGAGUUCAAAAACAAAGAUUUAAGCUUCUCUAUUAAUCUAAGAAUUUUUGGACACUUUCUGUAAUGUGAAGUGUCAAACAUGAGAUGUGGGGCAAGAAUUCCUCUAGAGUUUCUAGAGAACACCAUAUUCAUAGCAUAUUUUUUCAUACAAUGCUGAGAAAAUUCAUCCAAGUUUAUAAGAAGUAUUACUUUAUUGAUCGGUUCAUUAGAAGUGUCAUAAGACGUGAUAGUGUAACUAAAUGGACAGUGAAUCGGAGAAUUUAUUUGAGAGGUAAAAUCAGAGACUUAUUAGUAAUAUGCCAUCUUGUACUGAAUUUUUAACAAUCUUUUGAGCCUCCAGGUCACUGAUAUAUCUUCUUUUAGGCGCUAUCUUGUGGUAUGAUCCCCUGGUUGCUGCUUUUCCCUGUUCAAUGUAUCUGACAGGCUAAAAACCUAACCUAAAGGACAAUCAACUGAUCAAAAUUGUAAUCCAUCUAGAGAUUAAAAUAGAUCUUUAUUUGCAAGAGUGCAUGGCUGAAUGUGGGAAUCCCUUCACUCUUAAUAAUGACUCUACUAAUCUGCUUCAUUGUAGAUUGUGGAGGAUUACCUUUUAGAAGUUCACACCUGCAUAGAAAUAGUAUCUGCAUGAAACUUAAGUCGCUGUCAAGGCUUGUCUUCUCUGUAAAAUCAUAGAACAACUAAGAUUAUUCAUCGGCAUCUGGCAUCCGAUCAUUUCCCAAAGAUGCCUAUAAAUACAUCUCUGUGGCAUCCUUGCCCAACAGCGGAUCCAUGGUUCUUUCACAUCAAUGCAACAUGUAUUGCGCAGAUCAACUUGACCUUAAAGAGUAACGCUAUAAUAGAAACUACCUUUUAGGACUUAUAAUUGUAGUAGUGAGAGGAAAAAAAAGGAGUUAGAAAAUGUACUUCAGAUCCUUGUAUUUGGGCAAGUAGCUUUAUUUGGUAAAUGCCAAUUGUGGUGAAGAAUGGUCGAAUACAGUAAGUAAACCUAAUAUGUACCUGUUUCUGUACCAUCGUGGUACGAGUUCAAUAAAAGAUCUUACCUACCCAAAAAAAGUAAGUAAAGCCAAUUCGUUAGCUUGUGCAGAAACAUGUCUCUCAUUCAUUUGCUUUUUUUAAAGAAAUAUAUCUCAUCCCAAUUGUAAUUAAACUAAAAAAGAAACUCGCUAUCCAAAAAAACAAAAAUAGUAAACUAAAAAAGACAUAAAAGAAAGUGUUUCUCAUUCCUGUAUGUUUUAGAAUACAAAAAAGGUUAAGUAAAGAAAACCUGUCUCUUUCCUAUUCCGAAACGGAAAAAGGUGCAAUAUCUUGCAUCAAGAUCUUAAUAUGAUUUCUCAAGCACAUCAUUUACAAUGUAAUAGAUAUGCAUUUUAUUCUACUAGUUUUUAUUUACGUGCACUGCAUAUAUAUCCCAUGAUAAUUCGUACAAAAUCAAUUCAAAGAUUUGGAAAAGCGAGGAAGUGUAUAUUUUGAAAUGUUUCUUGUGGAAAUUGGGAAAAAAACUUGAAAACUUUGAAAGUAAAUUUAUUAAUUUUAUAACAAUCAAAAUUAGUUUUUUCUGUUUUUAUUAUGUCACUGUAAAAUGAAAUGGUGAAGUUUUUUUUGCCUUUUUAAGUUGUGGAAGGAUGGGUUUAUCAAUGGAUGUUUGGCUUUGCUUUGGAAGGAGAAAAUACUCGCGUUAAUUUUGACUUAAUAUUUUACCUUAUUUUUACUUUUUCAAAGAAAGAACGAAAAGGGAUUUCCAUAGGAAGCAAAUUUGGGGUCUUUGGGCCAACAUCAUGUAACUACGAAACUGAGUUAUUUAUUUCAUCUUUUAAUUUGGAAAAAAGAACAAGAAUAGGAACUCCAGAAAAAGAAAAGUUAGGGUCUCUAGGCCAACACCACGUAAGAAUGUAAUUAAUUUGGCUUUAAGAAUGAUAAUAGGUGCAUGAUGUCUAAAUAAUGAAGCUUUCGUAUUAAUUAAUAAGGUCAAAUAAUGAAUAUAAGGAGAUAUUGAAGUUUUUAAAUGAAUUCUAUUUACAAGUCUAUCCAAAAUGGAAUGCACUUAUGAAAGAUAAAAAAGGUCUAUCGACAUGUGUUAGAGUAUAGAUAGACACUAGACCUUUGUUUCUUUUUUACCUUUCUGCUUUCCUCUUUGUCUUUUUGUGUGUUCUGGGAGGAAGAGGCAGGGGGGGCAAGAAGGGAAUAAUUGAGUCAUCUACCAGAUCAAGGCUUAUCCCCAUAUGAAAUGCAAUUGCUUACACUAAAAAUGUAAGCCUGCGGGAAAGUUAUGAAUUAUAGUCCAUCAAUGAUCUCCUCCUGUUUUGACUGAGUUUAAUCUCCCGAUCAAAUGCCCUUUUGUAUAGUACCAUGUACUUUAUGAUGUCCUCCAGUCUUGCUUAAGUACAUCUUGUAUGUAGAGAUUUUAGGUUCGGAUAAAUAUCAACCAAUCAUCUACGUUUCAAUCCGAAUCCAAGUGGAGUCGGCUAGUGAAUCUUCUAUAUCCAUUUUGUUCUAUUCUGAUUUAUUACAUUCCAAUACCGGACAAUUUGCCUUUUUAGGCAAAUCAGCUGUGUGGGGACCUUUUUUUCCAUUUGGUCCUUCAAUUGUGCUACUUACCUCUUUGGUUGGAUAAGAUCAUUUGUAAUCUUCUCUGUUUUUAAAAAUAGAGAUGAAUUUUUGUAUUCUUGUCCUUAUUCAGUCUAAUAUCUUGCAUAUUCUUGUCCGUAUUCAUCUUAAUAUCUUGCAUACUUAUGGCAGUCAUCCAUGGAUAUGUUGGGCUUUAAGCCUCAAUAUUUACUCCUAGAUAUAUGCAUGUCUCAACCAUCCUAUAAAACUUACUGUUCACCUUUUAGUUAUCUUUCUGUCCAUGGCAUUAUCGCACUUUCCAUUUCAGGCGUCCUUUUUAAUGCUGUGUUACAUCUUAUAUAUAGUGCCAUUCUCAUGUAAGUGUGAGACUAGGAUCUAAAUUGUCUGUAUUAAGCAUCACGAUUUUUUAAAAAUUGAAUCAUCCGAAUCAAAUGAAUGAAUUAUUCAUUAGAAAAAGCACUGUGUUGAACGAUCUUCAUCAUAGGUGGAAAAUCUCACGCGCAAGGCUCAACUUCAAGAGAUAGAACUGGAAAGAUCUGGUAAGCAGCUAAAGGAGGCAAUAGCCAUUGCUGGAGAAGAGACUGCCAAAUGCAAAGCAGCAAAAGAAGUUAUCAAGUCACUUACUGCUCAGGUAAGCUGCUUUAGUUUUUAUGUCAAAAAGUUGCGCAUGCUUAUGAUGAAAUAUAUGCCUGUCUUCGGAAUAAGUUUCCCAGCACAAAUUGUUUCUGUUUUGACUUCAUGAAAUGCGGCAACUCUUAUAAAUAAGAAUGUGUUCCACUUAAAAAAAUCUAAAGCUGGAUUAGGAAAAUAAAGCUUUCAUUUACUCUAAUAAAUUAUUACUGCUUAAUUUAUUAAACAGACUUUCAAGUAAGAUGGUCUAACAACAUUGAGAUACAUAUACAUAUAGGUCUAUGAUUUUUAUGCAGUCGUUUGAUAUAGACACAAAUUAAUUUCUGACCAACGAAGUAUGUGGUUGUCAUUACUCAGAGUAUCUCUCUGUUUUGGUCUAGAUGCGAGUGUGCAUUUUCUUUUGUCAUCGUGUUAUCAGUUGUGCUAAAACACUUAAUAAUGCAUACUUUAUCUUUUGUGUCUUUAGGUCAUAAGUUUUUGUAAAAUGACUACUUUAAUCUUAUGGCAUUUCUCGAAUAUGCAUCUCGGAAUUGUCUUUUUGUUAUGUCAAAGUAAUUGCGUGUGAUUUUGGUUCAACAAUCGUAUUCGAUUAACAAUCUACUUCAUCCUUUUCAAAUAGAAUGUCAUUUAUUUCUCUCCCAAAACUAUUGGGAUUUCUUUCGUACCAAUGUCUAGCUUCAUGAAAUCCGAGUUCCAACAUUUUUUGUAUACCUGCAAAAGUUAAGUGGACCCAAAUUUUAUACGUGACAAAAUUGCAAUUCUACUUUUUUUGUUGGCAGUUAACCUUUUAAGUUCACAUGGAAUAUAGCUUGCGUGUAAAAGGAUGAAGACACUCAGUCUGUAAAACAACAGAUGGAAAAAAGAAAGUUUCUUUAUAAUUUGCCGUUCAUUCUUUUGGAUUUGUUUUAACAGUUCAAGCUUUUCAUAGUUUAGCUUGUUUUCCUUAGUGGUCAGGUUAUGUGCGAUUGCUCAUCAGUAUCCUUUUAGUUUAGUAUUUUUGUUGCCCUUCUAUUGAAGAUAGAGAUGAUUUGUAAAGUUAUUGAAAACAUAAUUUUCUGUUGACCUGCCUUUCAUUAGCUUCUUUUGCUGAUAAUCUGUUUUGUCGUCUUUAUCUUUCAUAGCUGAAGGAGAUGGCUGAGAGGUUACCAGUAGGUGCUUCCCGGAACAUCAAAUCUCCUACAUCUUUUUCCUUGGCUUCCAAUCUUACCGCCGGUGAUAUACCAAAUGGCUGUAUUGACCGAAUUCAUAGUCAACUAACUUUCCAAGAUGUGGAGUCAAAUGUAUCUAACAGCCAACUACUUUCUAACGGAUCAAGCAAUGCCAGUAAUCGCAAUGCUGUUCAAAACAGACAAGGGUUUCCAGAACCAACCCCAAGAAAUGGGGCCAGAACAAAAGAAGGUGAUUCUCGUAAUGAGAAUGAAUGGGUCGAACAAGAUGAACCAGGUGUAUAUAUUACACUUACCUCCCUACCUGGAGGUGUCAAAGAUCUUAAACGUGUUCGCUUCAGGUACGCUAACUAUGGCUUAAGGUCACCAAAUUUGAUGGAAUUAAUCCUCUGCAUUAUUCUUGUCAAAAUAAAUGAUCUCCUGUAAUUAUUCAUUAUGUUAUUUCUGCGGGUAGUUACUUUUCAAUUUCUCUGAGCACAUUUCAAGGAAUAUGGUUUGAGCCUGGCCAUGCUAUCUCUCUGUUAAAGUGAUCCAUCUCUCUUUAGUAGAAAUGAGAAAAAUAUCCUCAUUAGGAAUCGCUCCUGUCCUUGGACUGAUUUCCUAAUUUUUCAAAAAAAGGAUAUUUUAGUUUGACGCAAAAGAUCCUUCAUGCAUUUAGUUCUUUUGCAUGUAGUUGUUGACUACAUGCUUCUAUGUUGGUUGUCAAAACUUCGUUUUACCAUUUAGACAUCAUAAACGGAACGGCAUGGUCACUAAGGAUUCAUAUCGAACCCAACUUCCUUGGUACAGAGGCAUAGUUGCUGUACAUUGGAUUCAUCUCCAGUAGAGAUUUGUUACCCAUGUAGGAAUAAGCUUGAGAUCUUAGAGAAGUUCUAGUUCUAGAUGAUCCCUAAUUUUCCUUAAAAUGGAAAUUAUUUAGCAUCAGAGUGAUAUUAGUCUAACUAAAGUAGAAUGCAUACGAUUCAUAUAGCCGACCCACAUAGUUUAGGAUUGAGGCAUAGUUGAUUGAUUGAGAAUUCAUUUCAGAAUCCUGCACAAAGAAAAAUGUUUUGUUUGUUUGCUUAAAAACAAUUGGUUGGUUGAUUACAAUGACAUUCUGUGUGUGAAUGCUUUAAGUUUCAUAUAGCCACUUUUCCGUUGGAAUCAAAAGACUGAUGUGUCCUAAAAUGCAGUCGAAAACGAUUUAGCGAGAAACAAGCUGAACAGUGGUGGGCAGAGAACCGCGCAAGAGUUUAUGAGCAGUAUAACGUCCGCAUGGGGGACAAGUCAAGUGUUGGCAGUGUAAGCGAGGACUUACCACAUUGAAACAUGCUAAUAAAUUUGUAAGUGAUUUUUUCUUUUCUUGGCCUCUUCUUUUUCUUCUUCCCUGUCGGAAAAAUCUCUGCUUUACGGGGAAGUUCAUAUUCAUCGCUUAGUUUGGCUUCUCAAAUCUGUGGGGUGGUAUCAGGGGUUGUCAUAAAAAAGAACUAGGAUUAGAGGUUUGCUUCUAAGUUUUCAUUAGAUUUUUCAUCUUCUUCUUAUGGCUUGACCUGUUAUUUUUCCUUUUUCCAUUUCCCCCCUCCAUAAUGGUGUUUGUGGGGAAUUGAGGGUGAGAGAUGUAAAGUUUUAACUGCUUGCUCUUAUUGAGAGUAGCUUCCUUGUAAAUUUCUCUAGUAAAUGCAUCUUCUGAUUUCAAAUCCCUACCCUCUUUUUACAUUCCAUUUUUGUUGCAAGUGGCUUUGCUUAUGCAAUUAGGGGUCGUUUGGUUGCUGAUUACAGGGUAAGCUAUUCAUGUAUUAGGGGAAACAUAACUAAUACCAUGUUUGGUAACCUUUAGUUACUUUAUACAAAAGUUAUGUAUUAUUUAGAAUGUACAUGUAUUGGUUUUACAUGGAUUAAACAAUCAAAUGACCAAAACCCCCUCAUAUUUGUUUUAAAUUACACAUUGUAUAAUUAAAAUAAAUUAAACAUUUAACAAGAAAUAAUAUCUACAUUACAAUCCAUAAAUUACUAAUCUAUGCAUUACUAGUCCUUGCGUAACUAAUCCCUUCAUAAUUAAUCCCUACAUAAGUCAUAACUAAUACUUGCAUAACUCUAACUAGUAACCCUACUUAGUACUUGUUUGUCUCUCUUCCUCUCAGCUAGUUGAAGCAUGCAGAUAUUUUCAUUAUUUAUCUUUAUUAACCCCGGUGUCUCGGUCAACUUGAGCGCACCUCGACUAAUUUCAUGGGAUACCGAUUUGACUAUUUAUAUUAAGCAAAGAAAGGACAAUUUUGAGGAGAUUCAGACCAAGACAUCCACGAAGAUACAAUUUGGGAAAAAGAUAACAUGCCUGCAAAUUAUGUUUCACGUAAAGAGAGAAACUUACCGGUCCAUGCGGAGACAUUUUCGCUAUAAAGAAGUUAAAAUUCAAGACACAACUCGCAAUUCGGAUCACAGUAGGGGUGGCAAACGGGCGGAUCGGGGACAGAUAUGAGUGGGUCGAAAAUGAAUAAAAUAUCUGACCCGACCCAUAUCUAAUAUGGAUUAAAAAAAUGGGUUAACCGAUGGAUAAUAUGGAUAUCUAUAUUUUUCAUGGCUUCUUGAAUAUGAUCACUUCCAGAUAAUUCUUACUCUCCUAAACUUGAGUAAUUCCCAAUUUGAGUCUUUGCAAGUGUAAAAGUUAAAUCCAUUGGUUAUCCAUUUUUUAAAGUGGAUAAUAUAAACUUUAUCCAUAUUUGAUCCAUUUUUAAAAAGUUCAUUAACCAACCCUCUUUUUAACGGAUAAUAUGAAUGGAUAACUGAAUUUUUUAUCCAUUUUGCCACCACUAGAUCGCAGUAUCACGGAUUUGAAUUAUCAUGAGAGAUUGCUAUCAGUAUAAAUUAUGUUUAGAAGCAACGUUGGCGCUUGACUUGAGUAAAUGAAAAACGCAAAUAUAAGCAAAGUUAAAAUGUGUAACGUUUAAGCUGCUCUCUCAACAUAUGUCAAUAUAAUCAUUUAAAAGGAAACAACAGUGAAAAUGUCUCAAACUGCAAAUCCGGAGUUACCAUUCGAACACGCUAUAAAACUUUUUCCCUUCUCUUUUUUUGAUGAUUAUUGUUAAAUGAUGGAAAGAGGGGAACGAGGUUACACCAUGGCCUACCAACUGAGCCAUAAACUGCAGCAGAAAUGUUAGAGAAAAGCUCAAUUUUGAAUCACCAAUUCAAGCAUCAUAACUUAACUGAAAUACACAAAAAAAUAUAGGAAUUACACAGGCACACUAGUCUGAUAACGACUCGGGUAAUCAAAAAGUUUAACUGCAGCUAGCAAAGAUAUGCUUAGUAAGACUUUCCACAGUGUAUCAAGCUCCCAGCACCCAAGAAGAGACCAAAAAUGGCUGCACUGCCCAAAGUUGUUUGUCCAAUGUAUCUGAUUUUCAUAAGACCAGGCACCUGCAAUUUCCAUUAAAGUUAACUGAUAUCAUUAGGCUAAUACGUCGAAGCAAAUUGCAUUUAGCAGCAACACUUUUUUCCAAAAUAAAAGUCUAUAACUUUUUUCCAAAAUGGCAAUAUCCGGGCCAAACCAUGUGCACCUCGACUAUCCACCGACUACCUGUUACUUCCCACCAGCAUAAGCAAUAAAUAGUUCUCCCUCCAAAACUUAGGUAGAUGGAAAGAAAUCAGUGGUUUUUCUUCUAUACUGUGACAGUAACUUUAUGCUCGCGAAAAUGUUCAUACCAGAUCCCUCUCUAAUUUACCAGAAUUACUUCUGAUCUUUCUGUAAUGUGUUAAAUCUUGCAACUUUCCAGAAAUGACAUUAGAGGAAAUUACCAACGGAUGCCAAUAAAAAAAGAGAUACCAAGCCUGUAUGCUUUACUUGUCAUAUUUUCAGCAUCUUAAUAAUAAAUCUAAAAGAUCCAUCUCUGCCAUAAAUUCAACAAUGACAUAACAAAGGCAUUAAUAGUAAUUUGUUAUCAUCGGAUCAAAAAGAGAGAGAGAGAGAGAGAGAGAGAGAGAGAG
This 69392-nucleotide long non-coding RNA is filed under the name Nicotiana tabacum (common tobacco). RNAcentral's name for it is "long non-coding RNA (NTAB_LNC010260)". The stretch from base 15128 to 15306 matches the Rfam family "Bacterial large subunit ribosomal RNA", at positions 631 to 853 of the family's 2925-position model. The record is from RNAcentral. Lineage: Eukaryota; Viridiplantae; Streptophyta; Magnoliopsida; Solanales; Solanaceae.